GGCACCGCUAUCUUGCAAGCAUCCCCAAGAUCCAACAAUCAUGCAUCUCACCGUCUUCUUCCUCCGUGCCUUUCUCUGCAGCUGGCGAGCGUGAGGAUGCUGCCGUGGGCGAGGGCGCACCUCAACCCCACCGGGCAGGCGCUCAUCAUCUCCACCGUCGCCGGGAUGGCCUACUUCAUCGUCGCCGACAAGACCAUCGUAUCAAUGGCCAGGAAGCACUCCUACGAGGACGCGCCGGAGCACCUCAAGAACACCUCCUUCCACUAAUUAGACUGUAAUAGACCCAUUAGUAGCAGUGUGCAAUAAACUGCAUGCCGGCCUGCACGUGUCUGCUGAAGGAUACUAGCACUAGUAUAAUGUUCAGCAAUUAUCUGAGAUCAGGCUAGGCUUGCAGACAGUGAGUGGUGUAGUGUACUGGUCUUCUCUGCGUGCAAUUAGCACUUAUCUGAUCAAGUAAUCAUCAUGUAUCCAGCCAGUGAUCUUGAAUUAAUAAUAACUUGCAUUUGUACAACUCAGGUUUACCCACCAUCGCCCAUCUUACAUUUUCUUGUUUGUGGUUAUCAUCGCAAAGUCUUUUUUACCGGUUAAGGUAGCUACCGGUGAAGCAUCGACUGGCCAUUUUGCUCGUGAUUCGUGCUGUGGUGGCCCACAUCCAAUGUAUAAGAGUGUAUUUGUGGCAGUUAAUCUUUUGUAUAUAGUCAAAUCAGUGUCAGAUUAAUAGGUUUUGCAGUGGGAUGUAUGUAUGCAUGCAAUGUCUCUUCCCUCUCCCUCUCCCAAACAAAUCCAUGCAUUUUAUUUUUGUUUACAUUUUUAGAUGGCCAAUAUUUUUACAGUGAUGCUCUAUUAUUUAAUUUUUUCAUAUAUUCAAAUUCCUGAACAUAAAAUCUUCAGAAUAAGACCAAUCUUGAAUAUAUUUAAACUAGUUUAAUUUUUACUAUUUCAAUCAUAUCAAAAUAUUAAUUUCACUCAUUUCAAAUUUCAAUUUUCAAAAUAAUUGAAACGAUUGAAACCACGUUUCUGAAUAUAGUUUUCUUAAGUUGUUGAAACCAGUUUGUGUGAAAUUGAUUCGUUCAAAUACAUUGUACAAGAAAACUAUGAAAUGUGAGAUUUCAAAUAUGUGAAAUUGAAUGUUUCAUUGUGUGAAAUCGAUUAUUUCAAAUAUAUGAAACUAGUACUUUCCAAAUAUAUGAAACUGGUAUUUUUUUAAUAUAUGAAACAUAAUUUUGUGUGUUUAUCAACUUUCUUAUUCCAGUGUGUAAAAAUAUGUGAAAUGGAUUAUUUCAAACAUGUUUUAAUAUGUGAUUUUUUAGUGUGUUUGUCAAGUUGCUUAUUCCGCUGCGUGAACAUCUGUGAAACAGGUUAUUUCAAAUAUGUGAAUUUGGUUGUUUCAUUACCCGGAAUUGAUUAUUAAAAAUAUAUGAAACUUGUAUUUCUCUGAUAUAUGAAAUAUAUUAGUGUGAAAUUGUUUUUUCAAUUGAGUGACUGUAAUGUGUUUUUUUUUUGAAACUAGUGAAAUGAGUGAAAUAUAUAUUAUGUAAUGAGUGUAAUCAAUUUUCUAAAAUAAGUGAAAUAUAGUAUUUCAGUUGAGUGAAAUCAAUUUUUCAAAACAAAUGAGUGAUACCAGCUUUUUAAAACAAGUGAAAUAUAACUUUUUGGUGUGAAACUGCUUACUUCAAUGUUUGAAACUGAUAUUUCUACUGAGUGAAAUCCGUUUCAAUAUAUUUUUGUAAAUACGAAGUGAAAUUAGUUUUUGAGAUAUAUCUUUAAUGAGUGAAACCAUUUUUUUAAUCAGUGAAAUGUGCUUUUUUGGAUACCAGAAUCCGUACGCCCGGACUGCUAAGCGGACAUAUACAGGUCCUCGUUGGAUGUCGAAAGUGGUCUGGACACUGCGGUCUGGACAUAUAGUGAAGGUUUGAGGGUCCACCUUGAAGAUGCCCUUAAUAGAGCAAUCGUGCGCCAGCAACCCUAUCCCAGUUUAGAACUAUCUUCCCUUUGAUCAAACCUUCGAAGUUCGGAAUGUGCUCCACUUCCAUCUCCAUUUCCUCCUGGAUGUUGACUUCAUCAUCAACUCGACAUGUUCGUAGUCCGAUUUUGAUGAACCAAUGAACUCUUUUUGACUGAAUUCAUCAACCUCAUGGUCUGUAUACUCCUCAUCCUACGAGACUGACAAAUCCAUUGUUUUUCCUAUAAAAGAAUCCAAAAAAACUGCUUAGACAUUAUUGAACACAUAGAGGGCAAAGGUGUAUGACGGGAGGAGCGGGACGUACUGCGGUGGCGAGAAUGGUAUGAAGGAGUUUUGUGGUGGUGAUGGUUAUGCCGACACUGUGGGGUCAUAACGAUGGCAAAGCUAGGGUGACUAUGAAGCUAGGGAAGGGAUGUCGUGGACGAGGGAGAAAAGAGGAGACAAAAAUGGCAGGUCUACCUAGGCCGAGGUGAUUUGAUGAAAUUUUGUGGUGGGUCUUAUUUGUCGGAUCCGACAUGGCGGACGUGUCAGAGCCUCCCCAUAACCGUUCCAGAUAUGGGCUAGAUAUGAUGGGUGUCGGUCGGCCCGGAUGUAUGGGGCCCAUUUGAGGGGGCCGGUUGGGUUGUUAUUUCUUGAACCCAUCCGCCAGCCCAUAUAAAGGGUAUGAUACAAAGCCAAUAUAAAGGAUCCGGUUGUAGAUGCUCUAAGCAUUGAACGCGAAGGUCUCACGUUCGCUAAGGUGCGCAAAGACAACCACUGCAAUGUUAGUGUAUUCCUAAUUAAGGGCAUUUUCAAUGUUGACCCGCAAAUUUUCUCCCGCGUCCGUCCCGAGACAGAGGAACCAGUCCGUGGACACGGAUGCGGGAGCCACAUACAUUUCAAGACGGUUUUUCACAAACCCGACGGAAUUCAUCAAAGUUCGGAUAGAAAAUAGCGCAAGUCAUCUAUACAUAGCAUGCAAAUAAGUCUAUUAAAACAAUAGCCAAAUUUAACGAGCUUAACCGGAUGUUCAACAAGCUUUUCAUGAAUGGAUCAUGUCGUCACACAUACUGCCGCUUUAGCUUCAUCCAACAGUGUAUGUACAUAAAAAGGCCGUCCUCUAUCCUGUGGUACAUCAUGGCAAUGCUUACGGGACAAUGUGUAGAGAAACAUUGAGUGAGCGAAUGAUUCAAUCAACAAGUUGAGCAGGAGGAAGCAAAACUUUACGAUGUCCUUCGCUGCCGUGUCCAAUGGCCACAUUGCCUCCAGGCCGAGUAACCGUGUAACAAAACUUGGUAGUCUGGACGGCAUACCAUCGAUACGAUAACGACUUCACAUUGAGAUCAUGGAUGAUGUGCAUGUCAUAGAGCGCAAUGUGCUUUCGCGCGUGAAACGAAUCAUGCACGCGCUGCCAGAAGAUCCCUCUUCUGCUCAAGCCUACGAACUCCAUGGAUAUGGCCAAGCACGCAUCGCACAACAACUCAUCCUCCAUGGUCGAGUACCCCCACCAUUCUUUGUGGUCACGACAUGCCAUUCGAAAAUAAGCUCAAUUACAUUUGACCGAACACCUGCCAGGCAUGGUGUCAGCCAUGGACAUCGUCGACAGGGGGGGAGGGGGAGUGUACCUAGCUACAGACGGGUCCUGGGUGGACGGCGCCGUCGUAAAAGGUGAGGGGGCGCGUCGGUGCUGAUUGCGUACGUCUGGCAAUGCCUGUGUGGCGGCCGGAGAGGUAUAGUGACAAUGUCGGAGAAGGAGGAAGCAAGGGGGAGAAGGGGCGGCUUGGAAGAAAAUGUGACCGGGAGGAGAGACGGGUUUAGUGGCCGGGGGUUCGGAGUCCUACGUGGCUACUGUCCGGACUCCCGCAACCCACCUCCCACUUGCUUCCAAUUUGCAGGAAAAAGUGCCUCCGGAUCGGUCAGCAGACCGGUACACGCAUUGAAUGGCAAAACACGCCCGAACCGCGUAGUUUGAAUAUGUGCGGGCGGUUUGAGGGUUGAUAUUGGAGAUGCCCUAAAAUGAGUAUAACGCAUAGUUUACCUAGCUAAAAUAAAUUUAAAUUGAGAUUUAAAGUUCCUUUGAGAAUUUUGAACGGUAUCCUGUUGGUUUUAUUCGGUAGCCGCAUCUUUUGCCCCCUCAUGGCAUUUGUUCAGUAUAUUUCGUAGCCAUGACCUUGGCCGGGAUCGGGAUUCGCGAAGAUGGGAGAUGUACGGUGGUUGUGUGCGAGCGGUGACGUAGCUAGCUAGUGAAAACCUUAACGUUAUUUGAAUGGGUGAUUGACUUUAUAUUUCCCCGCAACCAAGGUGAUGAACGAAGACGAACCAACAUGUGGUUGAAUGGUUAGGAGGAUAGAGGUAUUCUCAGCCCACUAGGGUUCAAGUCAUGAUAAAUUAAGGAUUUACAGCUAUGCGUGUUCAGUGAGAGGAGUCGUUUCCGUCGAUUACAAGGCGGCCAGGGUGACUUUGACUGUAUGCUUGUAUAUACGAGCGCGGUUAAGAAAAAGUUGAUCAACAAAGGAUUUGCAGCGAACCAGUCGCGGAAUUGGACUGCUGCCGGGUUGGAUGAAAACAGGGAGCGCCCACACAGAUCUCCAACAAAACGGAGGGCACACUCACGCACAUGCCCCUACGUGUUAUCCUACGCAGGAGCACGCUCCCUGCCAACCCUGAUCGCUCCAUGCCUCAUUUUUAUCCAGUUGCGGUGCAGUGGUCAUCAAAAAGUAUGAGAGGCGAGUCACGUGGGAUGGUUUUUAUAUGCGGACCAUCUGUGCUCUGCCGCGUCGCCGGCCAUCCCGCCCGCCCGCCGCUCGUCUGAAAACCACGGUCUCGCUCCCCACCGUAUCAGCUAGCAUUCCUCUCCGCACGCCGGUUUCGCUGUUUCUCGUAGCCUAUAAAUCCGGCCGGAGCACCCAGCUCUGCCCCAUCCCAUCUCACACACCACUACUCAUCUUGCCUCACACACUUCACUGCUAGCUACUAGUAAUUCACUUCCUUGGGUUCUCGUGCCACCGAGCUCUCUCCCGCGAAGAUGUCGACGGUGACCCCUGCCUACCUCGACCAGAGGCUCGCCGCCGCCAAGCGCUCCUCCAGAGGUAACCAAAACGAUAUGCUGGCCCGCCGGUUCACCAUGCCGGCAAUGCUCUUGGCACUCUGUUCAAGUACAUUGUAGCUUUCUGUACGGUCUGUGCUGAAACUUGGUCGUCAUUAACAUCCCUACGUCGAUUCGAAACUGCAGAGGCCGCCAUGGCGGGAGCCAAGGCCGCGGCCGUCGCCACCGUCGCCGCCGCAAUCCCCACCGUAAGUACACGUUUCUCACCUUGCAAACAUCCCCAAGAUCUAACAAUCAUGCAUCUCACUGUCUUCUUCCUCCGUGCCUUUCUCUGCAGCUGGCGAGCGUGAGGAUGCUGCCGUGGGCGAGGGCGCACCUCAACCCAACCGGGCAGGCGCUCAUCAUCUCCACCGUCGCCGGGAUGGCCUACUUCAUCGUCGCCGACAAGACCAUCCUCUCCAUGGCCAGGAAGCACUCCUUCGACGACGCGCCAGAGCACCUCAAGAACACCUCCUUCCACUAAUUAGACUGUAAUAACAGAUCCAUUAGCAGUGCGCGAUAAGCUGUGUGCGCCAGCCCGUACGUGUCUGCUGAAAGAUGGUGUGUAACGUUCAGCACUUACCCGAGGCUUGCAGACAGUCAGUGGUGUGGUGUACUGCUCUUCUCUGCGUGCAAGGACUUGUCUGAUCAAGUAAUCAUCAUGUAUCCAGCCAGUAAUCUUGAACUAAUAAUAACUUGCAUUUGUACAACUCAGAUUCACCUGCCACUUAGUACAUUUUCUUGUGUGUGGUUAUCAUUUGACAUGUGGCAAUGUCCGAGCAUGCAUAAGACAAAAGUAACUCUGCAUUCUUUGGCCCUGUUUGGAUCAUGGGUUACAACUAGUUUGGGUUAGUUGGGGGCUUAAAUCCCAAAAGUAUCCAAACAGGUAGGGUUAAAGUGGGUUAGUUCCAUCUAACCCAACUAUCCCCGUGAAGAGGUGCUUAUUUGAGUUAGAGUGGGUUAGAAUAUAACUCUAACUCUAACUGUGUUAGAGUAUCCAAACAGGGCCUUUGACCCCCCGUUCCUCCCCUGUUUUGGGGUGCACAUCGGGAUCAUGCCACCUCACUUGUUAAAUCUUUUGAUAAGGUUUAAUAGAUGCCGCCGCAAAUUAGGAAAGUUUUUAUAAAGAAAAAAAAACCUCAUAGCACUCAUGCAUUUCAACAAAGGAGAGAGCGACAAAUCCCUAUUGUGCCUGAAGCAGGGAUCAUGCACACCACCCCCACGCUCUAGAAUAAGGAUUUGUGCAUACGACAAGAAAUGUUUCAUGGAAUCUUCUUUGUCCGGGUAGAAAGUAGUGUUAGGGGCAACUCAUUUCGUCUGUCCAUAUCUGUUUGGAUUGCCGCGGACAAAAACGCAGGCCCAAUGCGUCGGCUCAAACUCAAAAUGCGUCCGCUUCGUAUCCUCGUCGACCCAUUUCAGGCCUAAAUUUAGAAUUGAAAUGUGUCGGUGUGGACGCGCCGCGCGUCCCCUCGAUGUCCGCCGCGGCCCCACAUGUCGGCCAGCCAACUACCAAGUCGUAUUCACCAAGGGCCCACGCGUCAGCGGCUAGAAGCUACGGCGGCCUGCCUUUUUAAUCCACGAGUGCGCCAGGGGGGAGAGGGGACUCAUCCACUUCCACUGCCUGUCCNNNNNNNNNNNNNNNNNNNNNNNNNNNNNNNNNNNNNNNNNNNNNNNNNNNNNNNNNNNNNNNNNNNNNNNNNNNNNNNNNNNNNNNNNNNNNNNNNNNNNNNNNNNNNNNNNNNNNNNNNNNNNNNNNNNNNNNNNNNNNNNNNNNNNNNNNNNNNNNNNNNNNNNNNNNNNNNNNNNNNNNNNNNNNNNNNNNNNNNNNNNNNNNNNNNNNNNNNCGGCGACCACCAAACCUUAGGCAUGCGUUUCUUCAGCGGCUCCGGCAAGAGCAAGGGGAAGUUCGCCCCCGGCGCAUCCUCCUCUUACGCGGUUCCUCCUUCGCCGCCACGCCUGCCCGUCCCGCGAAGCAGCGCCUGCACAUUCCGGUGCACCAAGCACGCUGGCACUAGCUGUACAGGCAGCCAUUGCCAUAGUUGGAUGUCACGCUGCCGCACAACUGGCAUUUCGAUCCGCAGCGCAUCCCAGUGCCGGUGGUGCCAUGGACGCAGCGGCCGCGUACCUAGAGCAUUGGAGGCAGCGCGCUGACGGAGGAGCGUGCGCAAGGCGAGCGGCUGAUGCAGAGGAAGAGCGAGAAGGAGGAGGAGCGCAGAUAGAAGGAGGAGGAGGAGCGCCGAGCCAGCGCAGCAGGGCGACGUGGCCGGGCCUGGGAGGUGGCAUUCCCGUGGGCUGGCCCGGCGCCCCAGUUGGUCGACCUGACCGGCGUUCCUUCGGAUGCCUAGGGCACCGUGCGUGGUGGCGCGGACUUUUUUAAUUUUAUGUUUAAUGUAAAUGUAGACUUUGGGUGGCGGCUGACUGGUUUUAAUGCAUUAUUUAUGUUUAUGUUUGAACGUGAUUGUUUAUUUUAAGUCAGCAUUCAAAAAUGUGAGUCGGGCCAGCGUUGGAUGCAUGGGCAGACCCCAAAUGAAAAACCAGACACCGGCGUCCACGCGUCGACCCAAACGGAUAAAAAAUGGACAAAGCGCGCGUCUGUUUGGGUCGACGAGUUGGUGUUGCUCUUAGGGCACCUCCAACGGGAACCUCGCAAAUUUCCUCCCGCAUCCGUCCGCGGAUAGGGGUGACCAGUCUGCGGACAUGGACGCGGGCAUACAUUUUAGUAACAGUUCGAACUAAUUGGACAAGAUUCGAUAAAACCGAGUGGAUUUCAUUGAAGUUCGGACAUAGUUUACAUAAAAGGUCGAUAUUUCGACCGUUUAGCAAAAACACCAAAACCCUAUACCGGACGACCACCUCAUGCGCGUGGCCGCCCUGCCCUGCCGCACCGCUGUCUCUGUCAGUGACGUCGUCUUGUCGUCUGAUACGUCUCCAACGUAUCUAUAAUUUUUGAUUGUUCCAUGCUAUUAUAUUAUCUGUUUUGGAUGUUUUAUAUGCAUUAAUAUGCUAUUUUAUAUUAUUUUUGGAACUAACCUAUUAACCUAGAGCCCAGUGCCAGUUUCUGUUUUUCCCAUGUUUUUGAGUUUCGGAGAAAAGGAAUAUCAAACGGAGUCCAAACGGAAUAAAACUUUCGCGAUGAUUUUUCUUGGACCAGAAGAGACACCUACAAGAUUUGGAGAUGAAGUCACAAGACCAACGUGAAGGAAAUAUGCCCUAGAGGCAAUAAUAAAGUUAUUAUUUAUAUUUCCUUAUAUCAUGAUAAAUGUUUAUUAUUCAUGCUAGAAUUGUAUUAACCGGAAACUUAGUACAUGUGUGAAUACAUAGACAAACAGAGUGUCACUAGUAUGCCUCUACUUGACUAGCUCGUUGAAUCAAAGAUGGUUAAAUUUCCUAGCCAUAGACAUGAGUUGUCAUUUGAUUAAUAACGGGAUCACAUCAUUAGAGAAUGAUGUGAUUGACUUGACCCAUUCCGUUAGCUUAGCACUUGAUCGUUUAGUAUGUUGCUAUUGCUUUCUUCAUGACUUAUACAUGUUCCUAUGACUAUGAGAUUAUGCAACUCCCGAAUACCGGAGGAACACCUUGUGUGCUAUCAAACGUCACAACGUAACUGGGUGAUUAUAAAGAUGCUCUACAGGUGUCUCCGAAGGCGUUUGUUGGGUUGGCAUAGAUCGAGAUUAGGAUUUGUCACUCCGAGUAUCGGAGAGGUAUCUUUGGGCCCUCUCAGUAAUGCACAUCACUAUAAGCCUUGCGAGCAAUGUAACUAAUGAGUUAGUUGCGGGAUGAUGCAUUACGGAAUGAGUAAAGAGACUUGCCGGUAACGAGAUUGAACUAGGUAUUGAGAUACCGACGAUCGAAUCUCGGGCAAGUAACAUACCGAUGACAAAGGGAACAACGUAUGUUGUUAUGCGGUUUGGCCGAUAAAGAUCCUCGUAAAAUAUGUAGGAGCCAAUAUGAGCAUCCAGGUUUCGCUGUUGGUUAUUGACCAGAGAUGAGUCUCGGUCAUGUCUACAUAGUUCUCGAACCCGUAGGGUCCGCGCGCUUAACGUUCGGUGACGAUCGGUAUUAUGAGUUUAUGUGUUUUGAUGUACCGAAGGUUGUUCGGAGUCCCAGAUGAGAUCAGAGACAUGACGAGGAGUCUCGAAAUGUUUGAGACGUAAAGAUCGAUAUAUUGGAAGGCUAUAUUCGGACAUCGGAAAGGUUCUGAGUGGUUCGGGUAUUUAUCGGAGUACCCGAGAGUUACGGGAAUUCGCCGGGGAGUAUAUGGGCCUUAUUGGGCUUUAGGGGAGAGAGAGAGGGGUUGCCUAGGGCAGGCCGCGCGCCCCCCAAGGCCUAGUCCGAAUUGGACUAGGGGGAGGGGUGGCGCCCCCUCCUUCCUUCUCUUCUCUCUUCCCCUUCCUUCUCUCCUACUCCUACUACUUGGAAGGGGGGGAAUCCUACUCCCGGUGGGAGUAGGACUCCCCAAGGCGCGCCAUAGUAGAGGGCCGGCCCUCCCCCUCCUCCACUCCUUUAUAUGCAGGAGAGGGGGCACCCCACAGACACACAAGUUGAUCAUUGAUCUCUUAGCCGUGUGCGGUGCCGCCCUCCACCAUAAUCCACCUCGGUCAUAUCGUCGUAGUGCUUAGGCGAAGCCCUACGCCGGUAGCUUCAUCAUCACCGUUAUCAUGCUGUUGUGCUGACGAAGCUCAGCCUCGAAGCUCUACUGGAUCGUGAGUUCGUGGGACGUCACUGAGCUGAACGUGUGCAGAUCGCGGAGGUGCUGUACGUUCGGUACUAGGAUCGGUCGAUCGUGAAGACGUACGACUACAUCAACCGCGUUGUCAUAACGCUUCCGCUUUCGGUCUAUGAGGGUACGUGGACAACACUCUCCCCUCUCGUUGCUAUGCAUCACCAUGAUCUUGCGUGUGCGUAGGAUUUUUUUUGAAAUUACUGCAUAACCCAACACAACGAGGCGACGACAAGCCGUAGGGGCACGCCCCCUGGCUUGUGGCCCCCUCGGGAGUCCACCGACCUCCUUCCUUGGCCUAUAAAUAUAUAUUACCAAACCCUCAGUAAAAGCCACAAAAAUACUUUUCCACCACCGCAACCUUCUGUUCCCGUGAGAUCUCAUCUUGGGGCCUUUUCUGGCGAUCUACGUGAGGGAGAUUCAAUCACGGAGGGCAUCUACAUCAACCCUAUUACCCUUCCGAUGAAGCGUGAGUAGUUUACCUCAGACCUACGGGUCCAUAGCAAGUAGCUAGAUGGCUUCUUCUCUCUCUUUGAUUCUCAAUACCAUGUUCUACUCGAUGUUCUUGGAGUCUAUCCGAUGUAAUCUUCUUUUGCGGUGUGUUUCUCGAGAUCCAAUGAAUUGUGGAUUUAUUAUCGGAUUAUCUAUGAAUAUUAUUUGAAUCUUCUUUGAAUUCUUAUAUGCAUGAUUUGAUAUAUUUAUAUUUCAUUUUGAAUUAUCGUUUUGGUUUGGCCAACUAGAUUGGUAUUUCUUGCAAUGGGAGAGGUGCUUAGUUUUGGGUUCAAUCUUGCGGUGUCCUCACCCAGUGACAAAGUAGGGGUAGCGAGACACGUAUUGUAUUGUUGCCAUCAAGUAUAAAAUGAUGGGGUUUUCAUCAUAUUGUUUGAGUUUAUCCCUCUACAUUAUGUCAUCUUACUUAAGGCGUUACUCCGUUCUUUAUGAACUUAAUACUCUAGAUGCAUGCUGGAUAGCGGUCGAUGUGUGGAGUAAUAGUAGUAGAUGCAGAAUUGUUUCGGUCUAUUUGACACGGACGUGAUGCCUAUAUGCAUAAUCAUUGCCUUGGAUAUCGUCAUAACUUUGCGCUUUUCUAUCAAUUGCUCGACAGUAAUUUGUUUACCCACUCUAUUAUUUACCUUCAUGAGAGAAGCCUCUAGUGAAACAUAUGGCCCUCGGGUCUAUUUUCCAUCAUAUAUUUUCAGAUCUAUAAACAAAAAAUACCAAAAAUACAUUGCUGCAAUUUUAUUUACUUUUACUUUUUAGCAAUCUUUUAUACCUAUCUCUAUCACAUCUCACCUUUGCAAUUGACCGAGAAGGGAUAUUGACAAUCCCUUUAUCACGUUGGGUGCAAGUGUUUGAUUGUUUGUGCAGGUGCAUAGAUUAGGGACUUGCUUGUACCUCCUACUGGAUAGAUACCUUGGUUCUCUAACUGAGGGAAAUACUUAUCUCUACUUUGCUGCAUCACCCUUUCCUCUUCAAGGGAAAACCAACGCAAGCUCAAGAAGUUGCAUCGUCGUCGUGAUUCCUCCAGCGGUGCAACGACACCGGAGGGCCGCGACAGCCUUGUCCGGCGGCUGCCUGCCGCUCGCGGAGGAGCCGCUCCACCUCCUGCUGCGCCGCACGGAGUGCCCUCACGGCCACUAUCGAUGUGGCCUUCAGAGCCCUGGCGGACCAGCGUUGGUGGAUGAGUAGCUAAGCAACCACUCCUCGCCGAUCUUGGCGAGCUCGCCGUCAAGACGGCGGCGGCUGUCUCCCAGUGGUCAUGAAGCGGUCGAGUGCCCAAGUCGUGGCGAGAUCAGGGUUGUUGUGGACCUAGUUUGGUGCCACAUCGCUCUUCGCGAACGUGGAGCAGCGACCGGCAUUGCGCCGGUCGUACCUCUCCUACCGUCGAGCCGUGCACUCCGCCUCAGAGACGACGACCCUCGAGGCCGAGGGACCGCCGUAACAGCCUCCUUCGAGGUAGUGGAGGAGGCGGCCCCGCGCCUUCUUGAUCGUGGGCGGCAAUCUCCUUGACGGCGAGGCGGUGGCGGUGCAGCGGAACGAUGGCGCAUCCAUGCGGCCGUACUGGCCUCAUGGUGGGGACGACGGCUCUUCCUUGACCCGUCGUUCGAUCUGGACGCCAUGAUGGUGUGGGGGCGAGGCCGGCUCCUCCUUCACGCGGCGUAUGAUUUGGACGACAUGGUUGUGCCGGGGCAAGGCCGGCUCCUCCUUCACAGGAAGGAGAGGGAACAUGCAUCCUCGCCGCAUCCAAGCGACUGCAAACUGCCCGCUUUCCUCCAAGAAACCCGCAUAUGUGCCGAGAAAUAUACUUCGACCACUCGUACGUCCGCGAGCCGGUCGGCAUUAAACACAAUGCCGGUUGGCUUCUCGUGUCUGCCCACUAUUUAAAUGAUGCCAGACUCCGGAGAAUAACAACAACACACCUCCACUCCCCAUUUCCUUCUUGAACAUUACCGGUGACGAGGUGAGGAGUGACAAGUUCCCCAGGUCGACCCGGGCAUCGUGGUUGUUGUGGACGACGUCGUGUCGUACCACCCCUCCUGUGUCUGCGUCCGCGCCCUGGAUGCAGAGAAAGAGAAGCCGGCUGCACGGACAUCGACCAGGUGGUGGCCAGCACGCCAGCGCCUGCCGCCAUCAUCGAGGAGAAGUAGAACACGGGAGGUUGCAGCUGCUUGGGUUCCAUGAAGGCCACCGCCGAGGCGACACCGCCGUACGCAACCGGUGUCUUGCCCUGUGGCAGGCCACCAUGUCCCCCUACCCAAAAACCAACUCUGGUCCUUGCAGUGUAGGGACCCUCCCCCUCUGGCUGAAGCAUCAGCCGACAGUUCCACUCCGAUGAGCGAUGGGAAAGCGAGCCGCCCUUUGCGUUGAAGCAUCUACCUCCGGGGCUCACGGUUGCCGGACAUAGGGACAACUAUGAAGGCGUGGUCGGCAGUAGACUAGUCAAGGGUAUCCAUAUCGUCGGAAUGGAUAUCCGCCGCCGCCGGCCGUAGACUAGUUUUAUCUUAUUUUCCGAUUUGUAUGGCAUCCAUUAUGUUUGCAUGAAUUUAAUUCGGUUUGUUAAAAAGAUGUUUAAAAUGUAUGCAAGGAGCAUUGGAUGGGGUCUCCGACAUCGGCGUCCGUGGACAGAUGAGCAAAUUGGCGAAAUGACGAAAGGUGCAAACCUACCUCGGGUAGUUUCUCAGCAGGGAACGACGCCGACGAAAGUGGCAAACUCUCGCGGAGUUGGCGGAAAAUUGGGAGCGCCAAAACGGAGGGCACACCGCACUCCUCUCACGCACAUGCUCCUCCUAGUCUAGUGUUAGAGCAUCUCUAGUAGACCCCGCAUAAGUGGUCAAACCCGUAAAAAUUUUGCGUUUUACAGUUUUGGGCGAAAAAAGUGUCCAGAACAGAAACUGUAAAAGUGGUUCAACCCGUAAAAAUUUUAAGGGCCACCCGCAAAUGCACACCUGAAACCCUUAUCUUUGGAGGUUGGAAAGCCGAAUCUAGGGGGCCCGUAUACCGGUCAAACCUCGUCGAAACAAUCACGUCGCCGCGGAGUUUGCCGGAAUCCGCCCUAAACUCGCCGGAAUUCAUCACCGCACACCGGAAAAGGCCUCUAGGCGCCGCAAUCAGUUGCCGCCGGUUCGAAUUGGACGAGCUCGACAUAGCCGUGGCCUCCCAUGACCUCAGCCUAGCCGCCGGAAUCCUCCCGACGCGGCAGGCAAAAGGGCACGACUCGGCUGGCAAUAGAGUAAGGCGCGGACUGCGUAGGCGGCGGGGCGUGGCCGGCAAGGCUGGGCGCGGACGACGGAGGCGACGGGGCAUGGCCGGCGAGGUUGGGCGCGGCCGGCGCGGUGANNNNNNNNNNNNNNNNNNNNNNNNNNNNNNNNNNNNNNNNNNNNNNNNNNNNNNNNNNNNNNNNNNNNNNNNNNNNNNNNNNNNNNNNNNNNNNNNNNNNNNNNNNNNNNNNNNNNNNNNNNNNNNNNNNNNNNNNNNNNNNNNNNNNNNNNNNNNNNNNNNNNNNNNNNNNNNNNNNNNNNNNNNNNNNNNNNNNNNNNNNNNNNNNNNNNNNNNNNNNNNNNNNNNNNNNNNNNNNNNNNNNNNNNNNNNNNNNNNNNNNNNNNNNNNNNNNNNNNNNNNNNNNNNNNNNNNNNNNNNNNNNNNNNNNNNNNNNNNNNNNNNNNNNNNNNNNNNNNNNNNNNNNNNNNNNNNNNNNNNNNNNNNNNNNNNNNNNNNNNNNNNNNNNNNNNNNNNNNNNNNNNNNNNNNNNNNNNNNNNNNNNNNNNNNNNNNNNNNNNNNNNNNNNNNNNNNNNNNNNNNNNNNNNNNNNNNNNNNNNNNNNNNNNNNNNNNNNNNNNNNNNNNNNNNNNNNNNNNNNNNNNNNNNNNNNNNNNNNNNNNNNNNNNNCGUGCGACGCGUCUUGGCCUGCGAGCGAUGGGGCGCGGCCGACGGGGUUGGACGCGACCGGCGUGGCCGGCGCGGCCGGCUGGGGGAAGGGGCGGCAGCGGCCGGACUGAAGGAAGGAGCUCUUUAUUCCAGUUUUACAGUUUGUUUUACAGUAUCUAUUCGGCCGCAGCUAAAAUAAAUCUUUGAAGCGCACUUUUUUCAACUCGUAUCUCAGUUUUGCAGUUUGCGAUUUUAAAGGAUCCGCUAGAGAUGCUCUUAUCCCACGCACGCUCCCUUCUCUGCCAACCCCGAUCGAUCGAUGCCUCCUCUUAUCCCGUUGUAGUGGAGUGCAGUGCACGUGAGAUGGUUUUAUAUACGACCAACGAGGCAGGGGCGGCGCCAUUGUUGAUUCGUAACUGCAGAGGCAGCCAGUCGGUAACAUGCAUGCCAUUGUUGAUUCGUAACUGCAGAGGCAGCCAUUGCGGGAGCCAAGGCCGCCGCCGUCGCCACCGUUGCAACCGCAGUCCCCACCGUAAGUACACGUUUCUCAGCCGGCACCGCUAUCUUGCAAGCAUCCCCAAGAUCUAACAAUCAUGCAUCUCACUGUCUUCUUCCUCCGUGCCUUUCUCUGCAGCUGGCGAGCGUGAGGAUGCUGCCGUGGGCGAGGGCGCACCUCAACCCAACCGGGCAGGCGCUCAUCAUCUCCACCGUCGCCGGGAUGGCCUACUUCAUCGUCGCCGACAAGACCAUCCUCUCCAUGGCCAGGAAGCACUCCUUCCAGGACGCGCCGGAGCACCUCAAGAACAUCUCCUUCCACUAAUUAGACUAAUAGAUCCAUUAGUACUUUAGUAGUGCGCAAUAAGCUGCGUGCGCCAGCCCAUCUUAUCUUAUACAUCUUAUCUUAUAUUUACUAAUUGAAGGCAUCAUACGAAGCUCCACGUUAAUCCACAUCAUUAAAAGUGCGUUGGUCAUUCUCAAUCAUCCGAUCUAUGUUAUAGAUUUAUCUUGACCCUUCAAUUUCCGUUACACCCGUGACAAAAAAAUAACCAAUCUGGACGUAAACAUGACCCAACUUGCACAUAGUUAACAUCAGAAGAAAAAUCAAUAUUUUCCUUAACAAAAACGUUAUAAGAGUCGCGAUCUCACAAGAAAAUUAAACACCGUUAUUAUAAGAGACAUAUCUCAAUAUAAACCGCCAUGAUGGCAUUUCCCUCAAAAAAAGAGACCAUAUUUCAGAAGAAACAGGACCGUCAGCACAGUUGUAAAAAAAACAGGACUAUGAGCACGUUUACUAAAAAAAGGGGUCAUCACCACGUUCCUCUCCUUUCACGUAUGAUUCAAUCUUUGGUAAACAAAAAACAAAGGAAGCUCCACCCAUAAAAGCUCCAUCGAUAGAUAAAAAAAAACAGGACNNNNNNNNNNNNNNNNNNNNNNNNNNNNNNNNNNNNNNNNNNNNNNNNNNNNNNNNNNNNNNNNNNNNNNNNNNNNNNNNNNNNNNNNNNNNNNNNNNNNNNNNNNNNNNNNNNNNNNNNNNNNNNNNNNNNNNNNCGAUCUUUGGUGGAAAAAAAAAACAAAGGAAGCCUCCAGCCAUAAAAACUACAUCGAUAGAUAAAAAAAGAGAAAAUUAUCCCACAUCACGGAUGGGAAGAAAAAUCUUCCACGAUUCGGUUAUAGCACAUCGUAAUGCCUCUACCCAACCUUGACUGCGGAUAUAAUAAAAAGGAAAAAAAAAAAACAUCGACGUCGACUCCUGUACAUGGCCGCGGCCGUCUCCUUCCCUUCAAUAUUCGUGCACCUACCAGUCGAGACUGACGGCGCCACGCCUUCUCUGAUUGUUGAGUUGCAUUCUGUGAUGGAUGACCUUCCGCUUUAUGUUCUCCUGCGUGCUACCACCAUGGGAAAAUCAAGUUUGAAUCCAGCAUCUAUUGCUUGAUGGAACGAACCUUCAGGUAUGGUCUGAUUGCUUAAUCGCGUGAAUUACAUGCACGGAUGCAAUAAGUGGAUGCAAUUGUUUAUGGUCGGGUUCUGUAAAAUUUGGUUACAACUGUACGCAUGAGCAUGUUAACUGAUUGUUUUCUUCACGUAAGUGCACUAAGAACGAGAAACCGCACCAUUGCAGACGAACAAAAUGAAUCUGUCUUGAUUGCCUCCUCUCACUUUGCCUUUUGCCACUGUUCACAUUGUGUAUUACAUUUAGUUAAUUAAUAUGGCUAUUACUAAGUCGAUUGACAAUUUUUGGUAAGCUAAGUGCGCAUGCCGCGCACGUGGCCACCGGCACACGGGUCUUAUCGACCUCGUGCUCGGGGUGUGCUUCCCAUUUGGCACAUGGCUAUUACUAUGUCCUUUAUCCGUUGCUAGAUAUGUUAAGUUUGAAGAAAGACAAUAGCAGUAUAUAUACGUUGUUUUUCAUCCCUUCACUUAAUUUAAUUAUUUGUUGGAAGUGAAGGGAGCUGAAGUUAAUUAUGUCCCGACCUAAUGAUGUGGUAAGAGAUUCUUCGAACUUGAAUUUAAUUUUAUGGCCAUAUUUAAUUUCCGAAUAUAUAUUUCGGUAAUAUUAGUAUUAUGAGGCCCCUCAUCAGUUAUUACUAACAGCAUUUACUAUUUUAUUGGACAUUAAAAUGUGUUUCGGAAUCGCUUUGAGGUUUAUAGUAUAUUAUAAUCUGUUACUAAUGGGAGGCAUCAUACAAACCCCCAGGUUGACCUAUUAAAACACAUAAAAAUGACCUGAAGAUCUAAAUUCUACCAUUAUUAGGAUCAAGCAAGCACCGUGAAGUUCAGUUGGGGUCGAGUCCUAAAAGCUUACAAUUUUGUAUACCAUCGUAAACGUGUCUCCCUAGAAUUAUUGGUUUAGGACCAAGACUCACCUAAAAAAAAUAAAGCACAAGUCUAAAAAAUUCUCAGACAUGAAUUUUAGAUGGUGGUCGCCCCAAUGUCCCAGCAAUUUUACAUGUUGGAUGUCACGACGUGUCCGGCACCUCCGAUCAAGGUACAUAAGUGAUCAUUGUUGGUAUUAUGAUAUAUUCAGGUGCCUGACGCCUCUGAUAAAAAAUACUGAUAUAUUCUAGGGUUUGAAAAUGGCAGGGAUAAUCAUAUACAAGGCACAUAUAUAUCUGGAUUAUACAAGGCACACAUAUAUCUGGAUUAUGUAAUGAUCGAAUCACAUGCAUAUAUAUACGACAUUACCAUGUCUUAGAUUUCAUAUGCACAUAAAUGCUAGAAAUAAAAGAAAAUACAUAUAUUUGAAAUAAUGAAGGGCAUCAACUGGGAGAUAUAUAUGAUUUAAACCAUAGCAACGGCUACUUUCUACACUUUAAUGUCCAUACAUUGACAUGUCAGGGCUUCUGUUAGCCUUAGCCACAUUUGGUGACAAGGAACACUUGGCCUAAAUAUAGCUAUAUAUCAAAGUUAGAUACGAGUGAAACAUGCUCCAAACAUUCAUGCAAGUGUGUAUGUCCAUUAAAAAAGCAAUUAAAUACUCCCUCCAAUCAAAUUAAUUGACGCAACCUCAAGAAAAAAGAUCAAGUAGAUUUGUAUACAUAUUCAUGAAAAUAUGUUGAGUUACGUCAGAGCCUUUGGAAUAACAAUAUUAAAAUCAAUGUAAAUAGGGAUAUAACUAAUCAAGAAAAACAAUGGUAAAAAUUAAAUAAGUAUUAUUAGAGUGUAUCACCACGAAACAAUUUAGUGACUGCUUAUGAUUCUCUAAUACUAAAUUUUGUAGUCUUUAAAUUGCUAGCCAGGUGCACGGGUUGACGACUAGUUAGUAUAAUGUUCAGCACUUAUCCGAGAUCAGGCGAGGCAUGCAGAGAGUGAGUGAUGUGGUGUACUGCUCUUCUCUGCGUAUCUGAUCAAGUAAUCAUCAUGUAUCCAGCCAGUAAUCUUGAACUAAUUAUAACUUGCGUUUGUCCAACUUAGGUUCACCUGCCAUCGCCCAUUUUGCAUGUUCUUGUUUGUGGUUAUCAUUUGACAUGUGGCAGUGUCAGAGCAUGCAGAAGACCGAAAUAACUCUGCAUCCUUUGACCCCCUAAUCCUCCCCUGUUUUGCGAUGCACAUCGGGAUCAUGCCACCUCACUCGUUAAAUCUUUUGAUAAGGUUUAAUAGCCACAUUAGGAAAGUUUUUAAAGAAAAAAUAAUAAUUCUCAUAGCACUCGUGCAUCUAUACCAACUAGUAGUAAAUAUGUACGUGCAAUGCACGUUGAUAUUAUGUAAUAUAUUAAUUACACAUAAAUAUUAGGUAGGAUAUUAUUUGCAUAUUAAGUAUGUGAUUAGCAUUGAUAUUAAUAUUGUUGGGAAUCGUAGCAUAAUUUUAAAAUUUUCCUACGCUCACCAAGAUGCAUCUACGGAGUGUACUAGCAACGAGGGGAAGGGACUGCAUCUACAUACCCUUGUAGAUCGCGAGCGGAAGCGUUCCAAUGAAUGUGGAUGACGGAGUAGUACUCGCCGUGAUCCAAAUCACCGAUGACCGAGUGCCGAACGGACGGCACCUCCGCGUUCAACACACGUACGGUGCAGCGACGUCUCCUCCGUCUUGAUCCAGCAAGGGGUUAUGAGAGGUUGAUGGAGAUCCAACAGCACGACGGCGUGGUGGUGGAUGUAGCGGGUCUCCGGCAGGGCUUCGCCGAGCUUCUGCGAGAGAGAGAGAGAGGUGUUGCAGGGGAGGAGGGAGGCGCCCAAAGCUGUAGGUUGCUGCCCUCCCUCCCCCCUUUAUAUAGGCCCCCUUGGGAGGGGGGGCGGCCAAAACCCAUCUAGGGUUGGGGGGGGCGGCGGCCAAGGGGUGGAAAGGGGUGCCUUGCCCCCCAAGGCAAGGGGGAAGCUCCCCCCUAGGGUUCCCAACCCUAGGCGCAUGGGGGGAGGCCCAAGGGGGGCGCCCCAGCCCACUAAGGGCUGGUUCCCUUCCACUUUCAGCCCACGGGGCCCUCCGGGACAGGUGGCCCCACCCGGUGGACCCCCGGGACCCUUCCGGUGGUCCCGGUACAAUACCGGUAACCCCCGAAACUUUCCCGGUGGCCGAAACUUGACUUCCUAUAUAUAAUUCUUCACCUCCGGACCAUUCCGGAACCUCUCAUGACGUCCGGGAUCUCAUCCGGGACUCCGAACAACUUUCGGGUUUCCGCAUACAUAUAUCUCUACAACCCUAGCGUCACCGGACCUUAAGUGUGUAGACCCUACGGGUUCGGGAGACAUGCAGACAUGACCGAGACGCCUCUCCGGUCAAUAACCAACAGCGGGAUCUGGAUACCCAUGUUGGCUCCCACAUGUUCCACGAUGAUCUCAUCGGAUGAACCACGGUGUCGAGGAUUCAAUCAAUCCGUAUGCAAUUCCCUUUGUCAAUCGGUAUGUUACUUGCCCGAGAUUCGAUCGUCGGUAUCCCAAUACCUUGUUCAAUCUCGUUACCGGCAAGUCUCUUUACUCCUACCGCAAUGCAUGAUCCCGUGACUAACGCCUUAGUCACAUUGAGCUCAUUAUGAUGAUGCAUUACCGAGUGGGCCCAGAGAUACCUCUCCGUCACACGGAGUGACAAAUCCCAGUCUCGAUCCGUGCCAACCCAACAGACACUUUCGGAGAUACCCGUAGUGCACCUUUAUAGUCACCCAGUAACGUUGUGACGUUUGGCACACCCAAAGCACUCCUACGGUAUCCGGGAGUUGCACGAUCUCAUGGUCUAAGGAAAAGAUACUUGACAUUGGAAAAGCUCUAGCAAACGAAACUACACGAUCUUUUAUGCUAUGCUUAGGAUUGGGUCUUGUCCAUCACAUCAUUCUCCUAAUGAUGUGAUCCCGUAAUCAAUGACAUCCAAUGUCCAUAGUCAGGAAACCAUGACUAUCUGUUGAUCAACGAGCUAGUCAACUAGAGGCUUACUAGGGACACGUUGUGGUCUAUGUAUUCACACACGUAUUACGAUUUCCGGACAAUACAAUUAUAGCAUGAAUAAUAGACGAUUAUCAUGAACAAAGAAAUAUAAUAAUAACCUUUUAUUAUUGCCUCUAGGGCAUAUUUCCAACAGUCUCCCACUUGCACUAGAGUCAAUAAUCUAGUUACAUUGUGAUGAAUCGAACACCCAUUGCGUCCUGGUGUUGAUCAUGUUUUGCCCUAGGGAGAGGUUUAGUCAACGGAUCUGCUACAUUCAGGUCCGUAUGUACUUUACAAAUAUCUAUGUCUCCAUUUUGAACACUUUCACGAAUGGAGUUGAAGCGACGCUUGAUAUGCCUGGUCUUCCUGUGAAACCUGGGCUCCUUCGCAAGGGCAAUAGCUCCAGUGUUGUCACAGAAGAGAGUCAUUGGGCCCGACGCAUUGGGAAUCACCCCUAGGUCGGUAAUGAACUCCUUCAUCCAGACUGCUUCCUGUGCUGCCUCCGAGGCUGCCAUGUACUCCGCUUCACAUGUAGAUCCCGCGACGACGCUUUGCUUGCAACUGCACCAGCUUACUGCUCCUCCAUUCAAAAUAUACACGUAUCCAGUCUGUGACUUCGAGUCAUCCAGAUCUGUGUCGAAGCUAGCGUCGACGUAACCCUUUACGACGAGCUCUUCGUCACCUCCAUAAACGAGAAACAUAUCCUUAGUCCUCUUCAGGUACUUCAGGAUAUUCUUGACCGCUGUCCAGUGUUCCUUGCCGGGAUUACUUUGGUACCUUCCUACCAAACUUACGGCAAGGUUUACAUCAGGUCUGGUACACAGCAUGGUAUACAUAAUAGACCCUAUGGCCGAGGCAUAGGGGAUGACACUCAUCUCUUCUAUAUCUUCUGCCGUGGUCGGGCAUUGAGCCGUGCUCAAUUGCACACCUUGCAAUACAGGCAAGAACCCCUUCUUGGACUGAUCCAUACUGAACUUCUUCUAUAUCUUGUCAAGGUAUGUACUCUGUGAAAGACCAAUGAGGCGUCUUGAUCUAUCUCUAUAGAUCUUGAUGCCUAAUAUAUAAGCAGCUUCUCCAAGGUCCUUCAUUGAAAAACACUUAUUCAAAUAGGCAUUUAUACUUUCCAAGAAUUCUAUAUCAUUUCCCAUCAAUAAUAUGUCAUCCACAUAUAAUAUGAGAAAUGCUAUGUAGCUCCCACUCACUUUCUUGUAAACACAGGCUUCUCCAUAAGUCUGUGUAAACCCAAACGCUUUGAUCAUCUCAUCAAAGCGAAUGUUCCAACUCCGAGAUGCUUGCACCAGCCCAUAGAUUGAGCGCUGGAGCUUGCAUACUUUGUUAGCAUUCUUAGGAUCGACAAAACCUUCCGGCUGCAUCAUAUACAACUCUUCCUUAAGGAAGCCGUUAAGGAAUGCCGUUUUGACGUCCAUCUGCCAUAUCUCAUAAUCAUAGUAUGCGGCAAUUGCUAACAUGAUUCGGACGGACUUCAGCUUCGCUACGGGUGAGAAAGUCUCAUCGUAGUCAACCCCUUGAACUUGUCGAUAACCCUUAGCGACAAGUCGAGCUUUGUAGAUGGUCACAUUACCAUCCGCGUCCGUCUUCUUCUUAAAGAUCCAUUUGUUUUCUAUGGCUCGCCGCUCAUCGGGCAAGUCAGUCAAAGUCCAUACUUUGUUUUCAUACAUGGAUUCUAUCUCGGAUUUCAUGGCUUCUAGCCAUUUGUCGGAAUCCGGGCCUGCCAUCGCUUCUUCAUAGUUCGAAGGUUCACCGUUGUCUAACAACAUGAUUUCCAGGACAGGGUUGCCGUACCACUCUGGUGCGGAACGUGUCCUUGUGGACCUACGAAGUUCAGUAACUUGAUCCGAAGCUUCAUGAUUAUCAUCAUUUACUUCCUCCCCAGUCGGUGCAGGCAUCACAGGAACAUUUUCCCGCGCUGCGCUACUUUCCGGUUCGGAAGGGGUGACUAUCACCUCAUCAAGUUCCACUUUCCUCCCACUCAAUUCUUUCAAGAGAAACUCCUUCUCCAGAAAGGACCCGUUCUUGGCAACUAAGAUCUUGCCUUCGGAUCUGAGGUAGAAGGUAUACCCAAUAGUUUCCUUAGGGUAUCCUAUGAAGACGCAUUUUUCCGAUUUGGGUUCGAGCUUUUCAGGUUGAAGUUUCUUGACAUAAGCAUCGCAUCCCCAAACUUUUAGAAACGACAGCUUAGGUUUCUUACCAAACCAUAAUUCAUACGGUGUCGUCUCAACGAAUUUCGACGGAGCCCUAUUUAAAGUGAAUGCGGCAGUCUCUAAAGCAUAACCCCAAAAUGAGAGCGGUAAAUCGGUAAGAGACAUCAUAGAUCGCACCAUAUCCAAUAGAGUGCGAUUACGACGUUCGGACACACCAUUUCUCUGAGGUGUUCCAGGCGGCGUGAGUUGUGAAACUAUUCCACAUUUCCUUAAGUGUGCACCAAACUCGUGACUUAAAUAUUCUCCACCACGAUCUGAUCGUAGGAAUUUUAUUCUCCUGUCACGUUGAUUCUCAACCUCACUCUGAAAUUCUUUGAACUUUUCAAAGGUUUCAGACUUGUGUUUCAUCAGGUAGACAUAUCCAUAUCUACUUAAAUCAUCAGUGAGAGUGAGAACAUAAUGAUAUCCUCCGCGAGCCUCAACACUCAUUGGACCACACACAUCGGUAUGUAUGAUUUUCAAUAAGUUGGUUGCUCGCUCCAUUGUUCCGGAGAACGGAGUCUUGGUCAUCUUACCCAUGAGGCAUGGUUCGCACGUGUCAAAUGAUUCGUAAUCAAGAGACUCCAAAAGUCCAUCUGCAUGGAGCUUCUUCAUGCGCUUGACACCAAUAUGACCAAGGCGGCAGUGCCACAAGUAUGUGGGACUAUCGUUAUCAACUUUACAUCUUUUGGUAUUCACACUAUGAACAUGUGUAACAUCACGUUCGAGAUUCAUCAAAAAUAAACCAUUGACCAGCGGGGCAUGACCAUAAAACAUAUCUCUCAAAUAAAUAGAACAACCAUUAUUCUCGGAUUUAAAUGAGUAGCCAUCUCGAAUUAAACGAGAUCCAGAUACAAUGUUCAUGCUCAAAGCUGGCACUAAAUAACAAUUAUUGAGGUUUAAAACUAAUCCCGUGGGUAGAUGCAGAGGUAGCGUGCCGACGGCGAUCACAUCGACCUUGGAACCAUUCCCGACGCGCAUCGUCACCUCGUCCUUCGCCAGUCUUCGUUUAUUCCGUAGUUCCUGUUUUGAGUUACAAAUAUGAGCAACCGCACCGGUAUCAAAUACCCAGGAGCUACUACGAGUACUGGUAAGGUACACAUCAAUUACAUGUAUAUCACAUAUACCUUUGGUGUUGCCGGCCUUCUUGUCCGCUAAGUAUUUGGGGCAGUUCCGCUUCCAGUGACCACUUCCCUUGCAAUAAAAGCACUCAGUCUCAGGCUUGGGUCCAUUCUUUGACUUCUUCCCGGUAACUGGCUUACCGGGCGCGGCAACUCCCUUGCCGUCCUUCUUGAAGUUCUUCUUACCCUUGCCCUUCUUGAACUUAGUGGUUUUAUUCACCAUCAACACUUGAUGUUCUUUUCUGAUCUCCACCUCCGCUGAUUUCAGCAUCGAAUAUACCUCAGGAAUGGUCUUUUCCAUCCCCUGCAUAUUGAAGUUCAUCACAAAGCUCUUGUAGCUUGGUGGAAGCGACUGAAGGAUUCUGUCAAUGACCGCGUCAUCCGGGAGAUUAACUCCCAGCUGAGACAAGCGGUUGUGUAACCCAGACAUUCUGAGUAUGUGCUCACUAACAGAACUAUUCUCCUCCAUUUUACAGCUGAAGAACUUGUCAGAGACUUCAUAUCUCUCGACCCGGGCAUGAGCUUGGAAAACCAUUUUCAGCUCUUCGAACAUCUCAUAUGCUCCAUGCUUCUCAAAACGCUUUUGGAGCCCCGGUUCUAAGCUGUAAAGCAUGCCGCACUGAACGAGGGAGUAAUCAUCAGCACGUGAUUGCCAAGCGUUCAUAACGUCUUGGUUCUCUAGGAUUGGUGCUUCACCUAGCGGUGCUUCUAGGACAUAAUCUUUCUUGGCUGCUAUGAGGAUGAUCCUCAGGUUCCGGACCCAGUCCGUAUAGUUGCUGCCAUCAUCUUUCAGCUUGGUUUUCUCUAGGAACGCGUUGAAGUUGAGGACAACGUGGGCCAUUUGAUCUACAAGACAUAUUGUAAAGAUUUUAGACUAAGUUCAUGAUAAUUAAGUUCAUAUAAUCAAAUUAUUCAAUGAACUCCCACUCAGAUAGACAUCCCUCUAGUCAUCUAAGUGAAACAUGAUCCGAGUUAACUAGGCCGUGUCCGAUCAUCACGUGAGACGGACUAGUCAAGAUCUUCGUCACCUCCAUAAACGAGAAACAUAUCCUUAGUCCUCUUCAGGUACUUCAGGAUAUUCUUGACCGCUGUCUAGUGUUCCAUGCCGGGAUUACUUUGGUACCUUCCUACCAAACUUACGGCAAGGUUUACAUCAGGUCUGGUACACAGCAUGGCAUACAUAAUAGACCCUAUGGCCGAGGCAUAGGGGAUCACACUCAUCUUUUCUCUAUCUUCUGCCGUGGUCGGGCAUUGAGCCGUGCUCAACUGCACACCUUGCAAUACAGGCAAGAACCCCUUCUUGGACUGAUCCAUAUUGAACUUCUUCAAUAUCUUGUCAAGGUAUGUACUCUGUGAAAGACCAAUGAGGCGUCUUGAUCUAUCCCUAUAGAUCUUGAUGCCUAAUAUAUAAGCAGCUUCUCCAAGGUCCUUCAUUGAAAAACACUUAUUCAAAUAGGCCUUUAUACUUUCCAAGAAUUCUAUAUCAUUUCCCAUCAUAGUAUUUCAUCCACAUAUAAUAUGAGAAAUGCUACAGAGCUCCCACUCACUUUCUUGUAAACACAGGCUUCUCCAUAAGUCUGUGUAAACCCAAACGCUUUGAUCAUCUCAUCAAAGCGAAUGUUCCAACUCCGAGAUGCUUGCACCAGCCCAUAGAUUGAGCGUUGGAGCUUGCAUACUUUGUUAGCAUUCUUAGGAUCGACAAAACCUUCCGGCUGCAUCAUAUACAACUCUUCCUUAAGGAAGCCGUUAAGGAAUGCCGUUUUGACGUCCAUCUUCCAUAUCUCAUAAUCAUAGUAUGCAGCAAUUGCUAACAUGAUUCAGACGGACUUCAGCUUCGCUACGGGUGAGAAAGUCUCAUCGUAGUCAACCCCUUGAACUUGUCGAUAACCCUUAGCGACAAGUCGAGCUUUGUAGAUGCUCACAUUACCAUCCGCGUCCGUCUUCUUCUUAAAGAUCCAUUUGUUUUCUAUGGCUCGCCGCUCAUCGGGCAAGUCAGUCAAAGUCCAUACUUUGUUUUCAUACAUGGAUUCUAUCUCGGAUUUCAUGGCUUCUAGCCAUUUGUCGGAAUCCGGGCCCGCCAUCGCUUCUUCAUAGUUUGAAGGUUCACCGUUGUCUAACAACAUGAUUUCCAGGACAGGGUUGCCGUACCACUCUGGUGCGGAACGUGUCCUUGUGGACCUACGAAGUUCAGUAACUUGAUCCGAAGCUUCAUGAUCAUCAUCAUUAACUUCCUCCCCAGUCGGUGUAGGCACCACAGGAACAUUUUCCCGCGCUGCGCUACUUUCCGGUUCGGAAGGGGUGACUAUCACCUCAUCAAGUUCCACUUUCCUCCCACUCAAUUCUUUCGAGAGAAACUCCUUCUCUAGAAAGGACCCAUUCUUGGCAACGAAGAUCUUGCCUUCGGAUCUGAGGUAGAAGGUGUACCCAAUAGUUUCCUUAGGGUAUCCUAUGAAGACGCAUUUUUCCGAUUUGGGUUCGAGCUUUUCAGGUUGAAGUUUCUUGACAUAAGCAUCGCAUCCCCAAACUUUUAGAAACGACAGCUUAGGUUUCUUCCCAAACCAUAAUUCAUACGGUGUCGUCUCAACGGAUUUCGACGGAGCCCUAUUUAAAGUGAAUGCGGCAGUCUCUAAAGCAUAACCCCAAAAUGAGAGCGGUAAAUCGGUAAGAGACAUCAUAGAUCGCACCAUAUCCAAUAGAGUGCGAUUACGACGUUCGGACACACCAUUUCUCUGAGGUGUUCCAGGCGGCGUGAGUUGUGAAACUAUUCCACAUUUCCUUAAGUGUGCACCAAACUCGUGACUUAAAUAUUCUCCACCACGAUCUGAUCGUAGGAAUUUUAUUUUCCUGUCACGUUGAUUCUCAACUUCACUCUGAAAUUCCUUGAACUUUUCAAAGGUUUCAGACUUGUGUUUCAUUAGGUAGACAUACCCAUAUCUACUUAAAUCAUCAGUGAGAGUGAGAACAUAACGAUAUCCUCCGCGAGCCUCAACACUCAUUGGACCACACACAUCGGUAUGUAUGAUUUCCAAUAAGUUGGUUGCUCGCUCCAUUGUUCCGGAGAACGGAGUCUUGGUCAUCUUACCCAUGAGGCAUGGUUCGCACGUGUCAAAUGAUUCGUAAUCAAGAGACUCCAAAAGUCCAUCUGCAUGGAGCUUCUUCAUGCGCUUGACACCAAUGUGACCAAGGCGGCAGUGCCACAAGUAUGUGGGACUAUCGUUAUCAACUUUACAUCUUUUGGUAUUCACACUAUGAACAUGUGUAACAUCACGUUCGAGAUUCAUCAAAAAUAAACCAUUGACCAGCGGGGCAUGACCAUAAAACAUCUCUCUCAAAUAAAUAGAACAACCAUUAUUCUCGGAUUUAAAUGAGUAGCCAUCUCGAAUUAAAUGAGAUCCAGACACAAUGUUCAUGCUCAAAGCUGGCACUAAAUAACAAUUAUUGAGGUUUAAAACUAAUCCCGUGGGUAGAUGCAGAGGUAGCGUGCCGACGGCGAUCACAUCGACCUUGGAACCAUUCCCGACGCGCAUCGUCACCUCGUCCUUUGCCAGUCUCCGUUUAUUCCGUAGUUCCUGCUUUGAGUUACAAAUAUGAGCAACCGCACCGGUAUCAAAUACCCAGGAGCUACUACGAGUACUGGUAAGGUACACAUCAAUUACUUGUAUAUCACAUAUACCUUGGGUGUUGCCGGCCUUCUUCUUGUCCGCUAAAUAUUUGGGGCAGUUCCGCUUCCAGUGACCACUUCCCUUGCAAUAAAAGCACUCAGUCCCGGGCUUGGGUCCAUUCUUUGACUUCUUCCCAGUAACUGGUUUACCGGGCGCGGCAACUCCCUUGCCGUCCUUCUUGAAGUUCUUCUUACCCUUGCCCUUCUUGAACUUGGUGGCUUUAUUCACCAUCAACACUUGAUGUUCUUUUCUGAUCUCCCCUUCCGCUGAUUUCAGCAUUGAAUAUACCUCGGGAAUGGUCUUUUCCAUCCCCUGCAUAUUGUAGUUCAUCACAAAGCUCUUGUAGCUUGGUGGAAGCGACUGGAGGAUUCUGUCAAUGACCGCGUCAUCCGGGAGAUUAACUCCCAGCUGAGACAAGCGGUUGUGCAACCCAGACAUUCUGAGUAUGUGCUCACUAACAGAACUGUUCUCCUCCAUUUUACAUCUGAAGAACUUGUCGGAGACAUCAUAUCUCUCAACCCGGGCAUGAGCUUGAAAAACCAGUUUCAGCUCCUCGAACAUCUCAUAUGCUCCAUGUUUCUCAAAACGCUUUUGGAGACCCGGCUCUAAGCUGUAAAGCAUGCCGCACUGAACGAGGGAGUAAUCAUCAACACGUGAUUGCCAAGCGUUCAUAACGUCUUGGUUCUGUGGGAUUGGUGCAUCACCUAGCGGUGCUUCUAAGACAUAAUCUUUCUUGGCUACUAUAAGGAUGAGCCUCAGGUUCCGGACCCAGUCCGUAUAGUUGCUGCCAUCAUCUUUCAGCUUGGUUUUCUCUAGGAACGCGUUGAAAUUGAGGACAACGUUGUCCAUUUGAUCUACAAGACAUAGUGUAAAGAUUUUAGACUAAGUUCAUGAUAAUUGAGUUCAUCUAAUCAAAUUAUUUAAUGAACUCCCACUCAGAUAGACAUCCCUCUCGUCAUCUAAGUGAAACAUGAUCCGAGUUUAACUAGGCCGUGUCCGAUCAUCACGUGAGACGGACUAGUCAAGAUCGGUGAACAUCUCCAUGUUGAUCGCAUCUUCUAUACUACUCAUGCUCGACCUUUCGGUCCUCCGUGUUCCGAGGCCAUGUCUGUACAUGCUAGGCUCGUCAAGUCAACCUAAGUGUAUUGCGUGUGUUCCGAGGCCAUGUCUGUACAUGCUAGGCUCGUCAAGUCAACCUAAGUGUAUUGCGUGUGUUCCGAGGCCAUGUCUGUACAUGCUAGGCUCGUCAAGUCAACCUAAGUGUAUUGCGUGUGUUCCGAGGCCAUGUCUGUACAUGCUAGGCUCGUCAACACCCGUUGUAUUCGAACGUUAGAAUCUAUCACACCCGAUCAUCACGUGGUGCUUCGAAACAACGAACCUUCGCAACGGUGCACAGUUAGGGUGAACACUUUCUUGAAAUUAUUCUAAGGGAUCAUCUUACUUACUACCGUCGUUCUAAGCAAAUAAGAUGCAAAAACAUGAUAAACAUCACAUGCAAUCAAAUAGUGACAUGAUAUGGCCAAUAUCAUUAUGCUCCUUUGAUCUCCAUCUUCGGGGCACCAUGAUCAUCUUCGUCACCGGCAUGACACCAUGAUCUCCAUCAUCAUGAUAUCCAUCAUUGUGUCUUCAUGAAGUCGUCACGCCAACGAUUACUUCUACUUCUAUGGCUAACGCGUUUAGCAACAGAGUAAAGUAAUUUACAUGGCGUUAUUCAAUGACACGCAGGUCAUGCAAAAUAAUAAAGACAACUCCUAUGGCUCCUGCCGGUUGUCAUACUCAUCGACAUGCAAGUCGUGAUUCCUAUUACAAGAAUAUGAUCAAUCUCAUACAUCACAUAUAUCAUUCAUCACAUCUUCUGGCCAUAUCACAUCACAUAGCACUUGCUGCAAAAACAAGUUAGACGUCCUCUAAUUGUUGUUGCAAGUUUUUACGUGGUUUGUAGGUUUCUAGCAAGAACGUUUCUUACCUACGUAUGACCACAACGUGAUUUGCCAAUUUCUAUUUACCCUUCAUAAGGACCCUUUUCAUCGAAUCCGUUCCGACAAAAGUAGGAGAGACAGACACCCGCUAGCCACCUUAUGCAACUAGUGCAUGUCAGUCGGUGGAACCUGUCUCACGUAAGUGUACGUGUAAGGUCGGUCCGGGCCGCUUCAUCCUACAAUACCGCCGAAACAAGAAAAGACUAGUAGCGGCAAGAAGAAUUGGCAAACUCAACGCCCACAACUGCUUUGUGUUCUACUCGUGCAUAGUAACUACGCAUAGGCCUGGCUCAUGAUGCCACUGUUGGGAAUCGUAGCAUAAUUUUAAAAUUUUCCUACGCUCACCAAGAUGCAUCUAUGGAGUGUACUAGCAACGAGGGGAAGGGAGUGCAUCUACAUACCCUUGUAGAUCGCGAGCGGAAGCGUUCCAAUGAAUGUGGAUGACGGAGUAGUACUCGCCGUGAUCCAAAUCACCGAUGACCGAGUGCCGAACGGACGGCACCUCCGCGUUCAACACACGUACGGUGCAGCGACGUCUCCUCCGUCUUGAUCCAGCAAGGGGUUAGGAGAGGUUGAUGGAGAUCCAACAGCAUGACGGCGUGGUGGUGGAUGUAGCGGGUCUCCGGCAGGGCUUCGCCGAGUUUCUGCGAGAGAGAGAGAGAGGUGUUGCAGGGGAGGAGGGAGGCGCCCAAAGCUGUAGGUUGCUGCCCUCCCUCCCCCCCCUUUAUNNNNNNNNNNNNNNNNNNNNNNNNNNNNNNNNNNNNNNNNNNNNNNNNNNNNNNNNNNNNNNNNNNNNNNNNNNNNNNNNNNNNNNNNNNNNNNNNNNNNNNNNNNNNNNNNNNNNNNNNNNNNNNNNNNNNNNNNNNNNNNNNNNNNNNNNNNNNNNNNNNNNNNNNNNNNNNNNNNNNNNNNNNNNNNNNNNNNNNNNNNNNNNNNNNNNNNNNNNNNNNNNNNNNNNNNNNNNNNNNNNNNNNNNNNNNNNNNNNNNNNNNNNNNNNNNNNNNNNNNNNNNNNNNNNNNNNNNNNNNNNNNNNNNNNNNNNNNNNNNNNNNNNNNNNNNNNNNNNNNNNNNNNNNNNNNNNNNNNNNNNNNNNNNNNNNNNNNNNNNNNNNNNNNNNNNNNNNNNNNNNNNNNNNNNNNNNNNNNNNNNNNNNNNNNNNNNNNNNNNNNNNNNNNNNNNNNNNNNNNNNNNNNNNNNNNNNNNNNNNNNNNNNNNNNNNNNNNNNNNNNNNNNNNNNNNNNNNNNNNNNNNNNNNNNNNNNNNNNNNNNNNNNNNNNNNNNNNNNNNNNNNNNNNNNNNNNNNNNNNNNNNNNNNNNNNNNNNNNNNNNNNNNNNNNNNNNNNNNNNNNNNNNNNNNNNNNNNNNNNNNNNNNNNNNNNNNNNNNNNNNNNNNNNNNNNNNNNNNNNNNNNNNNNNNNNNNNNNNNNNNNNNNNNNNNNNNNNNNNNNNNNNNNNNNNNNNNNNNNNNNNNNNNNNNNNNNNNNNNNNNNNNNNNNNNNNNNNNNNNNNNNNNNNNNNNNNNNNNNNNNNNNNNNNNNNNNNNNNNNNNNNNNNNNNNNNNNNNNNNNNNNNNNNNNNNNNNNNNNNNNNNNNNNNNNNNNNNNNNNNNNNNNNNNNNNNNNNNNNNNNNNNNNNNNNNNNNNNNNNNUACCGGCAAGUCUCUUUACUCCUACCGCAAUGCAUGAUCCCGUGACUAACGCCUUAGUCACAUUGAGCUCAUUAUGAUGAUGCAUUACCGAGUGGGCCCAGAGAUACCUCUCCGUCACACGGAGUGACAAAUCCCAGUCUCGAUCCGUGCCAACCCAACAGACACUUUCGGAGAUACCCGUAGUGCACCUUUAUAGUCACCCAGUAACGUUGUGACGUUUGGCACACCCAAAGCACUCCUACGGUAUCCGGGAGUUGCACGAUCUCAUGGUCUAAGGAAAAGAUACUUGACAUUGGAAAAGCUCUAGCAAACGAAACUACACGAUCUUUUAUGCUAUGCUUAGGAUUGGGUCUUGUCCAUCACAUCAUUCUCCUAAUGAUGUGAUCCCGUAAUCAAUGACAUCCAAUGUCCAUAGUCAGGAAACCAUGACUAUCUGUUGAUCAACGAGCUAGUCAACUAGAGGCUUACUAGGGACACGUUGUGGUCUAUGUAUUCACACACGUAUUACGAUUUCCGGACAAUACAAUUAUAGCAUGAAUAAUAGACGAUUAUCAUGAACAAAGAAAUAUAAUAAUAACCUUUUACUAUUGCCUCUAGGGCAUAUUUCCAACAAAUAUUUGGUAUGAUAUUAACUGCACACUAAACGUGUUGAGCGCUCACCAUUGGAGCAGCCUGAGUCGUUGGAUUGACCUGAUUUGAUGGCCGGAAUUUGUUGGAUCUGUCCCUUUGGGUCUUUUAUAUUGUUUUGAUAUAGAUAUAUAAACGACACAAAGGACGGAUCCAACAAAACCGGCCAUCAAACCAGGUCAAUCCAAUGACUCAUAUUGCUCCGAUGGUGAGCACUCAACAUGUUUAGCUUGUAGUUAAUAUCAUAUCAAAUUCCAUUUUCAGCACAAAUCACGUAAUUAACACGCAAAUAAUAUACUAUUUAAUAUCUACGCGCAAUUAAUAUACUGCCUAAUAUCAACUUGCAUUGCACAUACAAAUUACAAGUUCCAACAAAGGAGAGAACCAGAGCAUGACGUACGCAUAUGACAUUUCCCCGAUGUUGAUCAUCAUCAUCAACUCUACAUCAUCGUCGUCCAAUUCCGAUGAAUCGAUGAACUCUUUUUGAAUGAACCCAUCAAACUCCUUGUCUUUAUACUCCCCACCCGACGAGCUCGACGAAUCCAUCAUUUUACCUACAAAAGAAUCCAAACAAACUGCACGGACAUUAUCGAACACAUAGAGGGUAAGGUGUAGACGGGAGGAACAGGACGUACCGCGGCGGCGAGAAUGGUGGGUUGGAGUUUUGUGGCAGUGAUGCCAAUGUUGAGAACGGCGACGAAGCUAGGGAAGGGCUGGACGGACGAGGCAGAAGAGAGGAGAGAAAAAGGGCAGGUUGGACUAGGUUGGGGCGAUUUGACGGAAUUUGUGGUGUGUCCCGUCUGUCAGAUCCGACACAGCGGACGACGCAUCCAUGCCUUCCUAUAUCCGCCCCAGAUAUAGGCUGGAUGUGAAGGGUGUCGGUCCGCCCUGACGUAUAGGACCGGUUUGAGGUUGGUUGCUAUUUCUUGGUCGGUAAUAAGUGACCGGACCAUCCGCCCGGACAUAUAGGGUUAAUAUAGGGGGUUCAGUUGUAGAUGAUGCUAAAGUCUCGUGCUUGACCGGACAUAUAGAACCGGUUUGAGGGAGCCGGCUGGGUUGCUAUUUUUGCCGGUGACCGGACCGUCUGCUCGGACAUAUAGGGUCAAUAUAAGAGUCUGGUUGUAGAUGCUCUAAGCAUGUUGCAAUUAUAAAAUUCAGCCCAAAUGAGUAUAGCGCAUAGUUAUACCUAGCUCAAAUAAAUUUAAAUUUGAAACUCGAUUGAAAAUUUUGAACGGCAUCCACUUGGUAUUUUUCGGUACAGGUGUUUCUCACCCCCUCUUUGUGUUCUUUAUGGUAUUGCGAAAACCUUGGUGAGGGUCAAGAUCCACGGCGACGGGAUAUCUACAGUGGUGGUGCGAGCAGUGACGUGGCUAGCCAGUGAAAACCUUUACGUUAUUUCCCCGCAAAAAAGAAAUCUUUACGUUAUUUGAACAGGUGAUCAACUUUAUAUUUCCCCGGAAACAAGGGGAUCAACAAAGGAUUUGCAGCGAACGAACCUAUGGUUGGAUGGUUAGUGGGACAGUAGUAUCCCAGCCCACCAGGAUUCAAAUACUGGUGCUCGCAUUAUUCCUGUAUUUAUUUCAGAAUUUCUGACGAUGAGCUUUCAGUGGGAGGAGACGUUCCCGUCGACGACGGGACGCCUGCGAUGACUUCGUAAAUCUCAAGGUGAUACGCCGGUUUACUCUCUCAAAGAUGCUCAUAGGGAUAGAGUGUACAUGUAUGCGUUUGUAUAUAAGCGUAUGUAUGAGCGCUUGCGUCUGUACAGUUUUAAAAGAAAACAAAGGAUUUGCAGCUAACCGCCCGCGGAAUUGGAUUGCGGUGGGGUUGGCCGAAAACAGGGAUCGCCAACAAAACGGAGGGCACACUCACUCACAUGCUCCUGCUCCUGCUCCUACUCCUAUGAUUCAGCACCUACGCACGAAGACGCUCCCUGCCAACCCGGAUCGAUCGAUGCCUUAUCUUUAUCCAGUUGCAGUGCAGUGGUGAUCAAAAAGUAUAAGAGGCGAGUCACGUGGGAUGGUUUUUAUAUGCGGACCAAGGAGGCGGCGCCACGUGUGCUCUGCCGCAGCAGCAUAGUACCGGCCAUCCCGCCCGCCCGCCGCUCGUCUGAAAACCAGGGUCUCAGCUGAGCUCGCCUUCGUCUCCGCACGCCGGUUUCGCGGUUCCUUGCAGCCUAUAAAGCCGGCCGGAGCACCCAGCUCUGCACCCAUCUCAUCUCAAAGAGACACCACUAUCCAUCUCUCACCACCAACCUCCCUCUCCCUCGCCAAGAUGUCUACGGUGACCCGCGCCUACCUCGACCAGAGGCUCGCCGCCGCCAACCGCUGCUCCAAAGGUAACCAACGACGGCCCGCUCCUAAGGCCAACGCACUCCUGACAUUUUUUUUGCUGCUUUCUCUUUGUGCCGACACUUGACUUGAUCCUGUGACACCGGGCUUACCAUUUAACUCAAACUGCAGAGGCUGCCAUGGCGGGAGCCAAGGCCGCGGCCGUCGCCACUGUCGCCGCCGCAGUCCCCACCGUGAGUAGCCAGCUAGCCAUUCAGUUCCAGAGUUCAUACUUCAUAGCACUUCUCAUGAAUGCGUUACCUGUACUGUAAUUUCAGCUGGCGAGCGUGAGGAUGCUGCCGUGGGCCAAGGCGCACCUGAACCCAACCGGGCAGGCGCUCAUCAUCUCCACCGUCGCCGGGAUGGCCUACUUCAUCGUCGCCGACAAGACCAUCCUCUCCAUGGCCAGGAAGCACUCCUUCGACGACGCGCCGGACCACCUCAAGAACACCUCCUUCCACUAGUUAGAUCCACUAUUAGUAAUGCCCAAUAAACCGUGUAAGCCAAAGUGCAUAGCGUACAGUGAUCAGCAAGGGGGGUCAGGGAUGCUCCCGGAUAGUCUUGUACUGCGAGUGCAAUUGCUCAUUUCGUAAUAUAAUUUUCAUCAUGCAAGUAGCCAUGUACAGUAUGUUUUGAGCUAGCAAUACUGAAUGAUGUACCAGCAUUUGUUUAACCAAUAUUUUCCAACUAUCGUGGCUAUUUUUAUGAAUCAGUCAGAUUGUAUAAAAAGUUAAGCAACCUCAAUCUGACGUUUAGUUUAAUCUUGUUGGCUCGCUGCCACCCACGUGACACAUCGACUUGAUCAGCGAAGAAUAUCUAGUAAACCUCAGAUCCUAGUUUCUACUUAGCAAAUUCACCGACAGUGCCGUUUUGAUCCAAGGUGGUCUCAGAAAGAUGCCAAAAUUUCUCAGAGGAGGGAUAUUUACACACCAUGCAUCAUGUCAAAAACCAGUGUUACAUCAUGUCCAUUCCUUGCUGCCAGUGAUCUCCCCAGAAUAUAUAGUUGUUUAACUAUCAAUAAGUCAGUCCACACAACUUCUUUUUUUGACAAAGGGUGAAUUUUAUUGGCUCAAAAUGAAGCAUCAAGAGGAUACAGAACAUGAUGAGCACACACCCGGCCUCUGCAUAGCUACCGGCAAACUGCAGCAAUGACCAUAUCCGCACCACUCAUCUUAUGACACCAAAUGGACAACGAGAUUCUUCAACAGCAACGCCUUCAGGAAGGGAGUGGCGCUCAAGCGCCGCCGUCACCGGAUCCGACGACUACGGCCAGAAUCUAAGUUUCACCCUGAAGAAUUAGUCCGAACAUAUCCGAGCAAUGCCUUCAACAAGGUAACGACGUAAAAUAACAUCGUCAUUGCCAGGCAUAACCAACUCGGUUUAGACCUGGGCUUUCACCCCGGAGCUCGAGACCGGAUGCAUGAAUAGCACCACCAUCGCAGUCACUUGUGUUGUCUACCACCUCUUUUCCACGAUUCCAACAGCUAAAUGCGAUAUGUGAUCGCAAUCGCUGCACAACCAUCCCUCUGCGUCAAGACGUUAUAUAUAGUUUGCAUCUCACCGCCGAAGUCAACCACCAGAUUUGAAAAGAUGAAGUUGCAUGACAGUCAGUAGCCACCACCACCUGGCCGGUACGAUCCGAAUCACCGCCAUCAAGCACACCAGAUCUCACAACCACGCCGGGUCGCCAGCAUGCCCUGUUCCAAUCUGGUGUAGCAGCAAGAGGGGCCUAUGGCCGGAGGUGGGAUGGUUGUAGCCCUCUUGCCACCCAUGUACUGUAUGCGCCAGGAGCCGAAGUUGGCCGUCCAGCCGCUGCAUGCCCCAGCCAGCGAGAACACAUGAUCCAUCCACCGCUGGCUAGGUGAGGGGACGGAGGAGGUAGCGCAACUCCCAUCAGCAGCAGGACAACGCGAGAGCGGACAGCCUGCCGGAGGCCAUCGCCGAGAGUAGCAUACACGCCCCGCCGCCUCGCUCCAAGCCUAGCAGAACCGACCACUUUGCGCCUUUCGAUGGCCCCACCGCCGCCGGCGCCGGCGGCGGUGAGGGGAGAGGAGGAACCGGUGUAGGCCUUGGGCCGCCGGACUGGGGCGCCCCGGUGCGACUCGCUGGAGUCGCACGGGAGCGCGAUCCCUUUUUUCCGGAAGUUGGUUUAAUAUCAAUCUUAAGUUCUUAACUUCUUGAGUGAACACAACUGAAUCGUCAUGUUCGUGUUCAAUUUGGCAAUUUCCCUGGCGAAUCACAUAUCUUGCUUUGUAUAUGCAUAUGCGAUGUUUUUUUUUCAUGUGUACUUACCUUAUACAAAAAUUUAAGUGAAUGGCAGACAUGGACGGGUCAUGUAUAUAUGUUUUUUUGUCAUGAACACGAUGCCAUUGGUGUGAAAGUGAUCACAAUUUGGUUUACUGAACUUUGUAAUAAAUUAGUGUUAAUAUUUGCACGACACCAAAAUUAUUUCAGAUCUCACCAAAAUCUCCAAAACUUAUAAGAUUUAGAAUUUAAUAUAGAAUUAGUUGGUCUAAAAUUCUUUGGAUUUGAACAACAAUAGUCCAAUUAUGACUUCAAAUUAACUUUGGUUCUGCUGUAGGCCAAAAACAAUUAGGCUAAAAUCCACUUCAAUGAACACUAACAUUACCAAAUUUCGUUUUAACUGAUUAGCACUAAUUGUUUAUCUGUAGAAGAUGAGCCGUUCCCAUUGAAGUUUUUUUACACGGUUCCCAUAGAAGUUAUCCUUGCUACAUAACUUUCUUUUGCGAUUUCAUCCCUACAAGAAGGGUUGGACGCGCUUCGCUUUGCUGUUGUUGGAUUUCACAAAGAUAAUUUUUGGUUUGGCGUGGGAGAAAGAUGAUGGAGUGUUUUUUAAUGUGGUUCUUAGUGGGAUUUGUUGGCGGUGUGAUUAUGUGUUAUCUGCUAAUCAACAAAUACUUAUGUGAGGAUGUUCCGGUUCAAUUUUUUUUUUACUUAUUAUGUGGGGAAGUUUCUUGAGUUGGUAGCCUCAUGUACUAUAUUGGUGCCAUAGUGUCACAUGUCGGCGCUUCUUUUUUUAGAUGGUGAGAGGGUGCACAACACAUGACUAGUGUGCUUCGAUUAAUUUGAGAAAUCAUUGACCCGGUCAAAAUCAUGAAUCAAAUCCAAAAUUAAAUACCUCAACCAAAUGAAAGAGCUUGUUGAGAAAUAGUUGACCUGAUCAAAAUCACAAGUCAAAUUCAGAUUUUAAAACUUCAAUUCAAUAGGAGGGCUCCAAAAUUAAGGAGCAUGAAUGAUAGCUAGUAAAAAACCUUUACGUUAUUUGAACUAGACGAUACCCCGCGCCUUGCUGCGGUAACUUUGUUUAAAAAAAUGCGUAGAUAGUUGCUAAAAAAUAACUACAUCUAAUGAAAAGAAAAUAUUAGUUUGAAAAUCAUUAAAAAAGUCUAUAAAAAUAGAAUAUAAACUUUUGAAUUACUGUUAAAAAUAUCAUUUCGAACAAACAUGUAAAGGAUGACUAACAUGCAUGCAUGAUGUGGCAACGUUAUAUGCAUAGACUAAUGCAAAAAUAAUUGCAAUUUAUUAGUUCGCUUAUGUGGCAGACUUUGCAUGACUUAGUGGGAGAGAAGACUUAAAUGCAUGACCUUAGUGGGGACCUUUGCUUAUGUGGCAGAUUUUGCAUGGCUUAAUAGGAAAGAAAACUUAAAUGCAUGACCUUGUUGAGGACAAUGGGAUGGACACUUUGCAUAUUAAAAGAAUUAGGACCAACUUCUUAAAAACAUAAAAUAAGAUAAGCACUCAACUUUAUAUCACCCCAAAAGGGCUUAGCUUGCACACUGGGGAAUCAUACCAGCCAAACAAUCGAUUUGCAGGGAACCGCUGGCGGCGUAUGGUUGCCGUCGGGUUGGCCGUAAACUUGGAGCGCCCACACCGCACACAUCGCCAACAAAACGGAGGGCACGCUGACAGAUAAUGCUCUCACGCACAUGCUCCUACCCAUACGUGUUAUCCUACUUCGCUCCCUGCCAACCCCGAUCUAGUUGCAGUCUAGUGGUCACCUAAAAGAAACACAGACCAGGCGCGUGGGAUGGUUUUUAUAUGCGGACCAAGAAGGCGGCGCCACCUGUGCUCUGCCGCAGCGCACCACCGCUCGUCUCGAAACCACGUUCUUGCUUCCCACCGUAUCAGCUGAGCUCGCCGUCCUCUCCGCACGUUGAACUCGGCUUUCCACAAACCAUCAAACCCGACGGAAUUCAUCCAAGUUCGAAUAGAAAAUACAUAGCAUGCAAAUAAGUCUAGUAAACAAUAGUUCAAAUUCAACGAGCUUAACCGGAUGUUCAAUAAGCUUUUCAUGAAUGGAUCAUGCCGUCACACAUACUGCGGCUUCAGCUUCAUCCAACAGUGUGGGUACGUAAAAGGUUGUCCCUCUAUCCUAUGGUACAUCAUGGCGGCGCUUACGGGACUAUGUAUAGAGCAACAUUGAGUGAGCGAAUGAUUCAAUUAACAAGUUGAGCAAGAAUUACCAAUGGCCACAUUGCGGUACGAUUUUCUCCACUGCUGCGCCCAAUGGCCACAUUGCCUCCAGCCGAGUAACCGCGUCACAACACUUGGUGAUGGUAGUCUGGACGGCGUACCAUCGAUACGAUAACGACUACACAUUGAGAUCAUGGAUGAUGUGCAUGUCAUGGGGCGCAAUGUACUUUCGCGCGUGAAACGAAUCAUGCACACACUGCCAGAAGAUCCCUCUUCUGCUCCAGCCUACGAACUCCGUGGAUAUGGCCAACCAUGCAUCGCAGAACAACUCAUCCUCCAUGGUCGAGUACCCCCACCAUUCUUUGUGGAAUAAGAAAACAACAUGCCAUUUGAAGAUAAGCUCAAUUACAUUUGACCGAACACCUGCCAGGCAUGGUGUCAGCCAUGGACUUUGUUGACGGGGGGUGGAUUGUGCCUGGCUACAGACGGGUCCUGGGUGGACGGCGCCGUCGUAAAAGGCGAGCGGGCGUGUCGGUGCUGAUUGCGUACGUCUGGCAAUGCCUGUGUGGGGUCCGGAGAGGUACGACAACGUCGAAGAGGAGGAAGCAAUAGGGAGAAAGGGCGGCUUGGAAGAAAAUGUGACCGGGAGGAGAGGGNNNNNNNNNNNNNNNNNNNNNNNNNNNNNNNNNNNNNNNNNNNNNNNNNNNNNNNNNNNNNNNNNNNNNNNNNNNNNNNNNNNNNNNNNNNNNNNNNNNNNNNNNNNNNNNNNNNNNNNNNNNNNNNNNNNNNNNNNNNNNNNNNNNNNNNNNNNNNNNNNNNNNNNNNNNNNNNNNNNNNNNNNNNNNNNNNNNNNNNNNNNNNNNNNNNNNNNNNNNNNNNNNNNNNNNNNNNNNNNNNNNNNNNNNNNNNNNNNNNNNNNNNNNNNNNNNNNNNNNNNNNNNNNNNNNNNNNNNNNNNNNNNNNNNNNNNNNNNNNNNNNNNNNNNNNNNNNNNGGAAAAAGUGCCUCCGGACCGGUCGGCGGACUGAUACACGCAUUGGAUGGCAAAACACGUCCGAACUGCACAAUUCGAAUGUGUGCGGAUGAUUUGAGGGUCGGUGUUCGAGAUGCCCUAAAAUGAGUAUAACGCAUAGUUAUACCUAGCUCAAAUAAAUUUAAUUGAGUUUUAAACUUCCUCUGAGAAUAUUUGAACGGUAUCUAGUCGAUUUUAUUCGGUAGCCGCAUCUUUUGCCCCCUCUUGGCAUUUGUUCAGUAUAUUUGGUAGCCAUUACCUUGGUCGGGGUCGGGAUUCACGACGACGGGAGAUGUACGGUGGUUGUGCGAGCGGUGACGUAGCUAGCUAGUGAAAACCUUUAUGUUAUUUGAACAUGUGACCAACUUUAUAUUUCCCCGCAACCAAGGUGAUGAACGGAGAUGGACCAACAUGUGGUUAGAUGGUUAGGAGGAUAUGAGUAUUCCCAAUCCAUCACGGUUCAAGUCCUAAUAAAUUCAGGAUUUUUAAGGAUGUGUGUUUAGUGAGAGGAGACGUUUCCAUCACACAAGGCGGCUACGGUGACUUCAAGUGAGCGCUUAUGUCUGUAGUGUGUGAUAAAAAAAAGUUGAUCAACGAAGGAUUUGCAGCGAACCACUCGCGGAAUUGGAUUGCUGCCGGGUUGGACGAAAACAGGGAGCGCCCACACAGAUCUCCAACAAAACGGAGGGCACACUCACGCACAAGCGCCUACGUGUUAUCCUACGCACGAACACGCUCCUUGGCUCCUGCCAACCCCGAUCGUUCUUUAUCCAGUUGCGGUGCAGUGGUCAUCUAAAAGUAUCCAGUUUUUAUAUGCGGACCGUCUGUGCUCUGCCGCGUCGCCGGCCAUCACGCCCGCCCUACGCUCGUCUGAAACCCACGGUCUCCGCACGCCGGUUUCGCGGUUUCUUGCAGCCUAUAAAUCCGGCCGGAGCGCCCAGCUCUGCCCCAUCCCAUCUCACACACCACUACUCAUCUUGCCUCACACACUUCACUACUCUGCUCGCAAGUUCACUUCCUUGGGUUCUCGUACCACCAACCUCCCUCGCCAAGAUGUGGACGGUGACCCGCGCCUACCUCGACCAGAGGCUCGCCGCCGCCAAGCGCUGCUCCAGAGGUACUAACCAAAACGAUAUGAUGCAUGGCCCGCCGGUUCACCAUGCCGGCAAUGCUCUUGCCACUCUGUUCUACUCCAGUACAUUGCAGCUUUGUAUACUGUUUGUGCUAAAACUUGGUUGUCAUUAACAUCCCGGUGUUGAUCCGAAACUGCAGAGGCCGCCAUGGCCGGAGCCAAGGCCGCGGCCGUCGCCACCGUCGCUGCCGCAGUCCCCACAGUAAGUAGCCAUUCAGUUCUCCGACGAAAUCCUUCCACGGUUCAUAGAAUGUCUCAUGAAUGCUUUACCUCUAACUUUAGCUGGCGAGCGUGAGGAUGCUGCCGUGGGCGAGGGCGCACCUGAACCCGACCGGGCAGGCCCUCAUCAUCUCCACCGUCGCCGGGAUGGCCUACUUCAUCGUCGCCGACAAGACCAUCCUCUCCAUGGCCAGGAAGCACUCCUUCGACGACGCGCCGGACCACCUCAAGAACACAUCCUUCCACUAAUAAUUCGACUAUAAUAGAUCCAUUAGUAGUGGGUAAUAAUCUGCACGCCGGCCUGGAAGUGUCUGCUGAAAGAUAGUACUGUAAUGUUCAGGCAGCACUUAUCUGAGAUCAGGCGAGGCUUGCAGACAGCCAGUGGCGUAGUACUGCGCUUCUCUGCGCGCAAGAACUUAUCUGAUGAAGUGAUCAUGUAUCCACCCAUUAAUCUUGAAUUAAUAGUAAUAACUUGCGUUUGUACAACUCAGGCUCACCUGCCAUCACCCAUCUUACAUUUAAUUGAUCAUCGUUUGAAAUGGGGCACUGGCAGAGCAUGCACAAGACCGAAACAACACUGCAUACUUCGAUCCCCUACUCCUCCCCUGUUCUGUGAUGGACAUCAGGAUGGCCGGAGGCAGGUGGCUCUGUAGGGUGGCCGGAGUAAUCUUUCACUUCAAAUGUUGUGUACUAGUACUUUCUUGAACAUUUGCAACGAUAAAUCUGACUUUAAAUCACCUCAUUUUAUGUAAUAACAUACAUUUGGUACUCCCUCUGUAAAGAAAUAUAAGAGCGUUUCUUAUAUUCCUUUCCAGAGGUAGCAUUUUCUAUGACUUUUUUAGUUGAAAAAUAAAUAAUAAAAAUAAAAUUGUCAAAAAGUCAACUUUGGCAGUGUCCUAAUAUUGGUACAUGAACUUGUCAUGGAAAUCUCACACGAUUUCUAGAAAGGUAGAAAAACCACUUGAUUAGAAAUUGCCCCUUUUGGCACGGUGUCCGAAUAUUGGUACAUGCUUACUAGUUUUAAACUUUGGGCAAAUUUUGUUAAUAUAGGCCAAAAUGAGUCCAUAAAUAUAGUUUUAGAAGUUCAUAUAAUUGCAGAGCACAAGCAUUCGACCAUUUGAACUACAUUGUUAACCAAAAGGAAACACAACACAUCAACUCCAGCGUAUUAAGAUCCCCAUAAAUUACCACAACUACAAAUUCCUGCAUUUUCCCCUUGUACUUGUGUUCUCGGAGAAUGUAGAAGAAUAAAACAAUGAAAGUGGCACCGUCUUUCUUCUCUUCCUGCAAUUGUGUUCCCAAACUUGCUCAUCUGCAUUUCACUAUGAUGAAGCAGGUCCAGGUCUCUCGCUUGGCAGCAUAGUAGGGUAGGUGUGUGACUCAGUGUUAACCUUGGCCUGGACAUAAAAUUAUGAUAUUAUAGGGUUGGUACUGCAAGGGUUGCUACCAAUCAUUGGAAUUCAGCAGAAUUAGAUGACCGUACAAAUUUGUUCACCCAUCAAUGGCCAACACUGAGAUGGCAAUUUUUUUUGGCAUACACGUACAUGAUAGAGAUAAUGAGGAGAGGGGGGAAUCUAGUUUGCCUGCUGAUGCUAACAGAGGUUCAUUCGAAGAUGUUGAUGGACAGUUGAUGGAAGAUGCUGCAGAUGAUGUUGAUGAUGCACAUGAUGAUGAGAUGAUGAAUGUUUAUGACAAAGAAAACCCUGUUAUUGAAGCGGGGAAGUUGUGGCCAAACAUGGAUGAGUUCAGGAUGUGUUUCAGGACUUAUGCGGUCAAGUAUGAGUUUGAUGCUAAGACUAAGUGGGCUGAUAGAAAGAAGUUUUAUGCGAUGUGCAGAGGAUUUGAUGAAAAUGUCAAGCCUUGCAAGUGGUACAUAUCUGCUAGAUGCCAACCUGAUGGAAGUACCAUCAGGGUUAAUCAAAUUCCACAUCAAUAUACUUGUAUUACAAGAUCACAGAGAGUACCAACCAUGACAUCACACAUUUGGGUUGCAGAAAAGAUCACUCCUGUUUUAGGAAAGAAACCAAACACUACUAUAAAGCAACUUUUAGUACACUUAGAAAUCAGUACCUCAUUAAGCUGAAAUAUACCACCGUGUGGAAGGCAAAAUAAAGGGCAAUGAAGCAAUAAUAUGGUGAUUAUGGCCGCCUCAACGGUGUGUCGCCACAUCGGUUGGAAGGUCAAUCGAGUCUUCUCGUCGCUGCUGUUGAUGUGGCGAAGUAGUGGGUCCUGAAGGAAAUAUGCCCUAGAGGCAAUAAUAAAGUUAUUAUUUAUUUCCUUAUAUCAUGAUAAAUGUUUAUUAUUCAUGCUAGAAUUGUAUUAACCGGAAACAUAAUACAUGUGUGAAUACAUAGACAAACAGAGUGUCACUAGUAUGCCUCUACUUGACUAGCUCGUUAAUCAAAGAUGGUUAUGUUUCCUAGCCAUAGACAUGAGUUGUCAUUUGAUUAACGGGAUCACCUCAUUAAGAGAAUGACGUGAUUGACUUGACCCAUUCCGUUAGCUUAGCACCCGAUCGUUUAGUAUGUUGCUAUUGCUUUCUUCAUAACUUAUACAUGUUCCUAUGACUAUGAGAUUAUGCAACUCCCGUUUACCGGAGGAACACUUUGUGUGCUACCAAACGUCACAACGUAAAUGGGUGAUUAUAAAGGUGCUCUACAGGUGUCUCCAAAGGUACUUGUUGGGUUGGCGUAUUUCGAGAUUAGGAUUUGUCACUCCAAUUGUCGGAGAGGUAUCUCUGGGCCCACUCGGUAAUGCACAUCACUAUAAGCCUUGCAAGCAUUGUGACUAAUGAGUUAGUUGCGGGAUGAUGUAUUACAGAACGAGUAAAGAGACUUGCCGGUAACGAGAUUGAACUAGGUAUCGAGAUACCGACGAUCAAAUCUCGGGCAAGUAACAUACCGGUGACAAAGGGAACAACGUAUGUUGUUAUGCGGUCUGACCGAUAAAGAUCUUCGUAGAAUAUGUGGGAGCCAAUAUGGGCAUCCAGGUCCCGCUAUUGGUUAUUGACCGGAGACGUGUCUCGGUCAUGUCUACAUAGUUCUCGAACCCGUAGGGUCCGCACGCUUAACGUUACGAUGACAGUUUUAUUGAGUUUUGAUGUACCGAAGGAGUUCGGAGUCCCGGAUGAGAUCGGGGAUAUGACGAGAAGUCUCGAAAUGGUCGAGACGUAAAAAUUGAUAUAUUGGACGACUAUAUUCGGACUUCGGAAAGGUUCCGAGUGAUUCGGAUAUUUUUCGGAGUACCGGAGAGUUACGGGAAUUCGUAUUGGGCCUUAAUGGGCCAUACGGGAAAGGAGAGAAAGGCCUCGAAAGGUGGCCGCACCCCUCCCCAUAGUCUGGUCCGAAUUGGACUAGGGAGGGGGGGCGCACCCUUCCUUCUUUCUCCUUCCCCCUUCCCUUCUCCUACUCCCACAAGGAAAGGACGAGUCCUACUCCCGGUGGGAGUAGGACUCCCCCCUAUGGCGCGCCUCUCCCCUUGGCCGGCUGCCUCCCCCUUACUCCUUUAUAUACGGGGGCAGGGGGCACCCCAGAGACACAACAAUUGAUCCUUGAGAUCUCUUAGCCGUGUGCGGUGCCCCCCUCCACCAUAUUACACCUCGAUAAUACCGUUGCGGAGCUUAGGCGAAGCCCUGCGUCGGUGGAACAUCAUCAUCGUCACCACGCCGUCGUGCUGACGAAACUCUCCCUCAACACUCGGCUGGAUCGGAGUUCGAGGGACGUCAUCGAGCUGAACAUGUGUAGAACUCGGAGGUGCCGUGCGUUCGGUACUUGAUCGGUCGGAUCGUGAAGACGUACGACUACAUCAACCGCGUUGUGAUAACGCUUCCGCUUUCGGUCUACGAGGGUACGUGGACAACACUCUCCCCUCUCGUUGCUAUGCAUCACCAUGAUCUUGCGUGUGCGUAGGAAUUUUUUUGAAAUUACUACGUUUCCCAACAGGUCCCAGAUGGAAUGAGAUGGUGCGUGGGGCAUACAUCUAAUUCCUUUGCAAUCGCUAUUGGCGUGGACUAAAAUAUGGAAGUUUGAGUGACAAGACUUGAAUAUGCAACUUUGGCAGUGGCACAGACCGAUUUUUCCAUAAAUAUAAUUAAAAAAAAUCCCUGGUGGGUUUGAUGAUAUUGAUUGGAAAUGUAUAUGUUAAUAUUUCUUUCCUAUAAACUUGAUUAAAGUGUAGCCAGACGAAACUAAUAUACACUCUAUUUUGAAAUGUAGGGCGUAUGCCAUAUCUUUAAGAUAUCAUGACCAUGGCUAUUGAUGAUUUCUCUAUACUACUCAUGACAUUUAAUAGGAUUUAUUGGCAUUUAUUUGGAUAAGGAUAACCUUUUGUUGUGGGUCGGAUAAGGAUAAGCUUGAUGCAAAAGAAACUGAAACAUGUUGUUUAAUGACAUUAAUUGGAUAAGGACAACCUUAAUGCAACCACAUCUAUAUAAGACGACUGAACGGUACCAGUCAUGACCACAGAAAACAUAUCGAUUGACAGACUAUUGCAUAACUACAUAUUCUCAGUUGUUCUGUGUUCUUAGGCAAUGGCGAAAAAUAGCAUCUUCCAAGUGAUCAUUGUUUUUCUCAUGGUGCAAGUCUGCUUGCUCAUGAUGAUGGCAGCACCGGCAGCACAUGCAGCUGCUAGACCAGUGGGGUACAAUCCAGUGUGCUGCCCUAGAAACAUUUACUGUUGCGGGUUCGGUGGCGCAUUGGCCAAUUCACCCGUGCCAUCCAUUGAGCCUUGAAGUGUGGUUUUAUUCUCCUCGAGGUAGUAAGCUCGGCAUAUAAAUAAUAUAUGUAGUUUUAUUGUUUCAUGUGUUACCUAUUCCCGAAUAUUUGUGAUGCUAUUUUCAAGAAGAUAUUGUACUAGCUACUUACCUAAUAAAAUGGGAGGAGAUUAUUAUAUAUAUUGUUUUAUGUUUACGUCAGUCCAUUUGAAAACAAGAUUAUUUGGCCGCACUGAUUUAUGGCAAAAAAACGAGUGGUGAGGUGCGUGCCUUUGGGAAUUUCUGUUUUAUUGUUCCGUUGGUCCUCCAUUUGUCGAGAUUGUCUGGGUCGUGGCAGCAUGCUUUAUUUUUCACAAAGGUCAUAACUUUUUAUAGCAUUUAUUGAGUGAUGGAGUACAUCACCAAUUAGUAGAAACCAAUUACUAUUGGCGAUGCUUUUUUUUAAUCAAGGGAUCCACACUCUCUUCCUUUCUUGCAAGAAGGCCGAUGCCAUGUAUUAAAAUUGUCCAACCCUUACAACACCAUCCUUACAAAAGAAUUAACAUAGAAAACAUAUCCUGGGUUAUAUCAAGGGCGUCUUCCUUCCGGACUUGUACGGCGUGAGCAAAACUCGAUGUGGCCUUUGGAUUUCCAGAACAACCUUAGAGCCAGGGUAAAUCAUUCUCUACAUUUUUCAAGUGAGUGCUCAAUUCCUCAAAAAAUAGUCAAAUAAAUAGUAUACGAAUAUAACUUUUUAUUCUUUGAUGGAGCACGAAGGGAUUGUUUGCCGUGGAUCCUAUAUGCGCAAUCUAUCUAUUAAUCUAUUACUAUACUAAUUAGAGACUCCUUCGAAAUUCCCACAAUUAAUCAGAAAAUACGGACUGCUCAUCUGGUGGGACCGAAUUAUUACUGUGUAGAUUUUUUUAAAUUUUCUCACAUUAAUAAAGAUUAAACAAUAAUUAUAAGCCCCCCAUCUGGUGGGACUAAGUUAUUACCACAUAGAUUAACUCAUAUAGUCCUUGGCCAGAAUUUUGCUCCAUUCUCCUAAAUCCAAAUAAUAAUCACUCAAACUCUGUUGUAAAAAUAGAACACUAAAAAAUUACGAUUCAUUCUCUAGUCUCAACUAUUCAAAGGAAAAAAAACUCCCACCUCAAUAUAGGCACUACACAGUCUCUUCCUCUCCCCAUUAAAAAGAUCAUCAACCGGAAGCAAUCUCCAUAAAUUCCAUGGUCACGCAUAGCAUUGUCCAUUGGAUCUGCGAUCGAUCGUCUUGGUCAUUGGCGGAGGCCUUCCUCAAUGGUGUGGCCGAACUCGAUCUGCGGGUGAGGUCAAGAUAACGCUUUGGUCCUAGGGGUUUGGUAUAGGGUCUUACGUAAGGAAAAUGGAAGAAAAAUGAAGUGAAGGCAGAGAACCCAUACACAAAGAGAAGCGAAGUCUGUGCCCCUAGCUACUCAGUAUGCGUACGCGGUUUUCGACACUAGAUGCUGCUUGUUAUUACCAACCAUUUGUAGGCGGUUUGAUUGUUCUGACUAAACCCGGGCAAACGUCAGGCUGGGCUGGGCUUGUAAAAGCCCGGCCUUCAUUCUCAAGCCCGAGCCCGACCCGAAGUCCAAAAACUCUCUGUUUUCAAGCCUGAGCCCGGCCCAAAAUCAAGCCCGAAAGCUCGGCUUGAACGUUGUUUUUAGUGUACGCACGUGCAAGCCUGACCCAAAGCCCGAAAGCCCGUCUCGAAAUACAGAUAAAGAGAAGCCCGAGCCCGGCCCAAACUAUCUUUCGGGCUGCAAAACAAGGCCCGAGCCCAGCCCGAAUGUGAAGCCCGGCCGGGCCGGCCUGUCGAUGCUCGGGUUUAGUUCUAACCACCACCAGCGUCGGCCUUUGCAUCAAGCGAUGCACACAGUCAUUUAUUAAAAAGUAUAGGGUCUCAAAGUAUGAGUAACAUCUCAAGUUGCCAAAAAGGAACAAGAAAUCAAACAAAUAGCCACAACUGACAAAAUAGGAAUGUGGCUAAACACCUAUCUUAUUAAUGGACCAGCAUCUAAACAGGUUGUACUUAGCCCGUGCUACCGUCUCCCAUUGAUUGCACCCAACAGCCAUAAGCCCCCUCUCUACCGCAUGGUGUAGUAAUGACCACUUAGGGAUCCAGCUAGUCGCCCUGAUAGAUAACAUACAAAAAGCUUGUGAUAUUUGUCCUGUUAAAAACACAAUCAUUCCGAUAGUUCCAAAUAGGACAAACUAAAUGCACAAACUAAUUCGUGACGUAGUAUUGGGCUCAACCCCACCUAGCCAGUUACCAAACAAAUUGGAGAUAAUAUUAAGAGGAGGUAUGUUCAACGACACGUGUAUUGUCCGUCACGAUAAGUUGGAAAUGUGGCAAGUGAGAGACAAAUGUUGACUCGUUUCAUCAUGAUCGCAAAACUACACCAUUUACUCCCCUCCCACCUACUCCCUCCGUUCCUAAAUAUUUGUCUUUCUAGAUAUUUCAACAAAUGACUACAUACGGAGCAAAAUAAAUGAAUCUACACUCUAAAAUAUGUCUACAUACAUCCGUAUGUGAUAGUCUGUUUGAAAUGUCUAAAAAGACAAAUAUUUAGGAACGAAGGGAGUACGUUGUAGGCCAACUCUAACCCAUCCACUACAAAAUAGAGGAGGAUCCGUCUGAGCAAAGCUUGGUGGAGUAUAUUUACUUCACUAAGUUUUGGCCGGACAUAGUCGACCCCCUAAAUAUAACCGAGUACAAUUUAUAAUUGGCUUAUACAAUUGGUUGAGCACUUGGUGUGCGUCUGCUUGGGGACUCCGGCAUGGCGAGCACCCCUGCGGCGAGGAACACGGGUUAAACACGUAGCUGAUCAGGAUGCAGACGUUGACAGAUAGCUGCCACCGAGAUGGCAAGCUAGACAUUGCCAAUUGCAGCAUGUUGGUUCCGCUGGCAAGCUUGCUACUCACAUGAUCCUGCUCGGCCUGCACCGUGCCUCGUCCCCCAUCGCGUGCUACAGCUCCUGCUGCUUCCCCUCUGACGGAGGACUGCACCCCAUCACUGUGCUCGACCAUGUAGUGCCUGAAGGGCCUGACUCCUCCGUUGGACAGGCCUAAGGAAAGCUGAAGCUGGAUGGCGUCGUCGACUGCCUGCGAGAUGGGCGCCGGAGUGAGUGUGGUGUUGCGUGGCACCAUGGCAGCAUGAGCUGCAGCUUGAGGUCGUGCCGAACGCUCAUGCCACAGGCGCUCGUGAUGCUGCAGGUCGAGGUCGCCUUCGACUAUGGCACAUGCGCCGAUGCGACGGACGUGUCCCCGUCCGAGCCCCGCAAGGAGAGGUCGCUGUCACUGUCGAACGCCACCCACGAUGAUUCUGACGACCACGGCUAGGAGGAGGGACGGGACGCGGCACUGGGCCGCGACCCGGGGAUAAGCCAGUGGUGGCGGCGACAUCGCCGGGGGCGGGGGUGACUGAGGCUGCGGGUGGUCACCAGGUGGCCACAGAGUGGGGACAGGCGGUCUUAGGGAGAGGCGACAGGUUUUACUCGGCCGCCUUCAGGAGUAAUUUUAGUGGUUGGAUAGGCGGACGAGUAAAAUUUAGCCUCACAUAUACUAUAAGUUUUAGUACUUCGGCUAGGUGCGACAUAAACGAGGAAAACCGAAUUUAUCCUUCCUUAGACUGGCCAUAAUGGGUAGUAACAUAUACAUGUUACUAGUCUAUGUUACCAUCUUUAUAAUGGGGAGUAACAUAUGUGUGGUAACAUGCAACACUUCAUUUAUUAGGCUAUAAACUCAUUUUGCCUUGAUAUGUGUGAUGUUACUCAUACUACUAGUAACUAGCUAUGUUACCACUUUACUCAAUUUCUUCAUUUAUUGUUUACCACAUCAUCUAUUUUAUCUAGAUAUGUGUGAUGUUACUAUCUAUGUUACUCCCACUAUGGGUAGUCUUAUAGUCCGAUAGGGAAUCUUGAUUUUAAAGGGGCCUUUGAUUUUUAAACUUGAUUUCAGCACGUCCAAAGACCGGUGUGGGUAUUAGGGACACAACCCCUUUUGAUGGCCGCUUCUAAUGCCCUUUUUCUACUAGUGAAUAUUGGUUUUGUGCAUCUAUUUGUGACGAUUGCUUUGCUCAUGGUGUCCUUCGAUGAAGUCGGGGUCGCCGGUCGCCUGCGUGCAGCUAUGAAGUUAUUCGUGCAAUAUUUUUUCUUAAUUAAUGAAAAUAACAAGUCUUUUACUACCCCACUGUACAAAAAAUAUAAAAAUGUUUAGAUCAGUACUUUAGUUAUGUAAACACGCACAUAUUUCUUUUACGGAGACCGUUUAACAAAUCAACUAGCAUUAUGUCGAGGAACGAUGCCUGCCAAACAGGGGUUUUGCACCGAGCCGCCGGUGGAAUUGGCCUGAUCGAUUGCCGACGCGGCUAGCCGAGCUAGCUAGAUAGGCCAAAAACAGGGAGCGCCCACACAGACAGAAAUGGAACGCACGCUAACUGACACUGCACUCACGCAUAUGCUCCUACCUAUUCCCUCCGUUCGGAAUUACUUGUCGUAAAAAUGGAUGUAUCUAGACUUAUUUUAGUUCAUCCCGCCGGAGCACCCUGCUCUGCCCAUCUCAUCUCAUCUCACUCACACUGCUUACUUGACUUCACUACCUAGCUCACUUCCUCCGGUUCUCGUGCCACCAAGCUUUCUUCCACGGCAACGGCCACGGCCACGAAGAUGUCUACGGUGACCCGUGCCCACCUCGACCAGAGGCUCGCCGCCGCCAAGCGCUGCUCCAGAGGUACUAACCAAAACGGUGGCAGGCCAGCAAUGCCCGUGUCGUUCUGCUGUUAAACAUUGCAGCCUAUGCGCUGAAACUUGAUCGCCAUUGACAUGCCUGUGUUGCUUCGGAACUGCAGAGGCUGCCAUGGCAGGAGCCAAGGCCGCGGCCGUCGCCACCGUCGCAGCCGCAGUCCCCACAGUAAGUAGCCAGUUAGCCAUUCAGUUAUUCGGCCAAAUCCUUGCACGGUUCAUAGCAUGUCUCAUGCAUGCGUUACCUGUAACUUGAGCUGGCGAGCGCGAAGAUGCGAAGAUGCUGCCGUGGGCCAAGGCACACCUGAACCCAACCGGGCAGGCCCUCAUCAUCUCCACCGUCGCCGACAAGACCAUCCUCUCCAUGGCCAGGAAGCACUCCUUCGAGGACGCGCCGGACCACCUCAAGAACACCUCCUUCCACUAAUUACACAGUAGAUCCAUUAAUAGUGCGCAACAGGCUGCACGUCGGCCCGUACGGUCGUACGUGUUUGCUGAAUGAUACAGUAGUAUAAUGUUCAGCGAGAGAGGCGAGGCGAUGCAGAUCAGGCGUCGCGCUUCUAUCCGUGCAAGCACUUAUCUGACGAAUUUACCAUGUAAUCUAGCCAGUACUCUUGAAUAAAUGAAUACUUGUAUUUGUACAACUCUGAUCCAUCUGCCAUCACUCAUCUUACAUGUGGCAGAGCAUAAAAAAGAAAUCUCCACCGCCGGCCCCUAAAACGUACACAAUAUCCGUUUGCGAGCCGGUCAUCCAACGCUAAUCCAACAAGCGUCCAGACACAUUUCAAAUAGACCUUAAACAAUCUAGAUAAAAUUCAUACAAACCGAACGAUUUUCAUUCAAACCGGGACAAGUUCAUUGCAUUUUAGAUAUAUUUCAACUAAACAAAAGUGGGCGACACUUUUUAACCCAGUCUAAAUAUUCGUCGGUCGUGGAGGCCUUCAUGUUCUGCAUCAUGUCUUUACCAUGUCUGGCAAGUUCAGUGGUCGCAAGCUUUUGUGAAGUGAAGUUGCCGGUGAGGAAGAAUCUGACUUGGGACAUGACUCACAUGGGACACAGGACUUGCCCACAUCCGUGUCCCACGUCCUACUCUUCCCGGCUAGAGUCUGUGAUGUGGACGUUGCCGGACAUGGAUGGAUCGGCCUCAUGGCCAAUGCGGUUGGGCACGAAAUGUGAUAGCGCCGCGAUCAAUGCGGAACUGGCGACGUCCGUGAUGUUUGUGCCCACUCUUCAUCCACCUUCACCUGCAAGACGCACUGCCGCCAUCGCUCGCGAGGGAUGUCGUGAACUGCGGCCAACGACCAUAAGGCUGGUCCAUCCGGCAUUUCCGACACGAAGGUUGUCUCAUCUCCAACGACAAGUAGAACUAGGAUAGUUUGAUCUAUGUUUGAUAUAGUACGUGGUUUAAUUUUACGUUCCAUGAUGUAGUAUCAAAAAAGUAGAGGGUGAGAUUUGGGGUUUGUGGUUGCAGCGAGAGAUAAAUGAAGGGUGACCGGGCUCGGUCUACGGAUGCGUCCGGAAACAUCUGCGAACAUGUGGGGUCACUUUUGAAAUAUGCAGCUGUAGAUGUUGUAACAUUACCAAGAUUUCAAGGAAUUGAAAAUCGGGAUGAUCGGUUUCCUACCUCUUCAUCUUUUUUUAUCGAUAAUUGUAGACGCACGGGGUUUUACGGCCCGUGACAGGCUCUUUNNNNNNNNNNNNNNNNNNNNNNNNNNNNNNNNNNNNNNNNNNNNNNNNNNNNNNNNNNNNNNNNNNNNNNNNNNNNNNNNNNNNNNNNNNNNNNNNNNNNNNNNNNNNNNNNNNNNNNNNNNNNNNNNNNNNNNNNNNNNNNNNNNNNNNNNNNNNNNNNNNNNNNNNNNNNNNNNNNNNNNNNNNNNNNNNNNNNNNNNNNNNNNNNNNNNNNNNNNNNNNNNNNNNNNNNNAGUGGGGGUGGGGCCCUGACCUUAAUCUCCAUCCAAACAGAAGAUCCCAACUAGGACACUCCGUGAAUCCCUGUAAAACAUAGCCCGUGUGUGUAGCAUUGCUCUUUUUUUAUAGGAAAGGCUGAAAUAAAUCCAGGAUCAAGUCUAGAAUUUGAAUCUUGGUGGGCUGGGAUACCACCGUCCUUCUAACCAUCGAACCACAGGUUCGUUCGCUUCUGCCUCUUCAUCUUAACGAUACACACAUUCAUACUUAUAUUUAUUUAUUAUAAACAAUUGUGAGUAGGAGUAAUAAAACUCAGUACAAAUCAAUGAGUGGAGGGAGAAAAAAAUGCCACAAUCGGUGUAGGCAAACAUGCCUACACAAAAAGCAUAAUAUUGGAUCAUCUAUCCUACGUGAAAUGUUAUGUUAUUUUUAAACAGAGGUAAAAGAUUUUCCUCAUCUAUUAAGUAACAAAAUAAUGACAGGAGGGACGUUUUGCCUUUUUUUUAUGUGUGAAGAUUGAUGUUGGUUAUGUGCAUCUUAACUAUGCAGAGGCCAGAUAUAUGUUUAUUUUGACUGUAUUCAGUUGAUGCUUCAUUUUAUUAAAUAAUAAAAUCCAUUCUUAAUGAAAAAAGCAUGGUGGCGGGGCUGACCCCGCCAAACAAAGGAUCAGGCGCUCGCGGAAUUGGAUCGCCGACGGGUUGGCGGUAAACUGGGAGCGCCCACACCACACACAUCGCCAACAACCUGAAGGGCACGCUGACAGAUACUGCUCUCACGCACAUGCUCCUACCUACGUGUUAUCCUACCUAGUACGUGUUAUCCUACGCAGGAACACGCUCCCCGCCAACCCGAUGGAUCGAUCCAUGCCUCGUCUUAUCCAGAAAACAGAGUCCGCCACCUGUGCUCUGCCGCACCUGCACCGCCCACCGGUACCAUUACCGAAACCACGGUCUUGCCUGCUUCCCACCGUAUCAGGUCGUCUUCCUGCCCGGCCGCACGCCGGUUGGGCGGUUUCCUGCAACCUAUAAAUUCCGCCGGAGCACCUCGCUCUGCCCAUCUCAUUCUCAUAUCACUUCACUGCUACUACUAAUUCACUUCCUUCGGAUCCCGCUCGUGCCACCAAGCUCUGCUCCCGCUAAGAUGUCGACGGUGACCCGUGCCAACCUCGACCAGAGGCUCGCCGCCGCCAACCGCUGCUCCAGAGGUAACCACCGACGACCGGUUCCGGCCACAGCCCAGCACUGCUCUGCUCCUAUAUCCCAACCAUCCAUUGCAGCUUAUGUGUCUGCUGAAACUUGAUCUUGAUUAACAUUCCUGCGUUGGUCUGAAACUGCAGAGGCUGCCAUGGCGGGAGCCAAGGCCGCGGCCGUCGCCACCGUCGCUGCCGCAGUACCCACAGUAAGUAGCCAGCUAGCCAUUCAGUUCCAGAGUUCAUAGAACACAUCUCAUGAAUCAACGCGUUACCUGUACUGUAAUUUCAGCUGGCGAGCGUGAGGAUGCUGCCGUGGGCGAGGGCGCACCUCAACCCCACCGGGCAGGCGCUCAUCAUCUCCACGGUCGCCGGGAUGGCCUACUUCAUCGUCGCCGACAAGACCAUCCUCUCCAUGGCCAGGAGGCACUCCUUCGACGACGCGCCAGAGCACCUCAAGAACACCUCCUUCCACUAAUUAGACUAUAAUAGUAGACACAUAUAAUGUUCUAUAAUGGUACUAUAAUGUUCAGCGAGAGGGGCGGUCAGG
RNAcentral lists this long non-coding RNA (53415 nucleotides) under Triticum aestivum (bread wheat). RNAcentral's name for it is "long non-coding RNA (TAES_LNC017471)". The record is from RNAcentral. Lineage: Eukaryota; Viridiplantae; Streptophyta; Magnoliopsida; Poales; Poaceae.